CCUCCACAUGACGUAACUAACCAAAAGAUAAGGGAAUAAAACUUCUGCAAAAACAACAGGGGAUAAAACCCUGAGUAUGGAAUUACUCAGCAAGACUUACCCGACUAAAGAAAAGACUCUCAAGGGUAUGCUAGCUGAUUGGGAAUCAAGGUAAAGUGUAUCAAUGAUCAAAGACUCUUUUUUUGCAGAAAAGCUUGCUACCAGUUGAUCCUUAAGCCAAGUUUUAUUUCACUAGUUAGGUUAUUACCUAAAUCUAUAUUUGCCUGGUCUAGUUCAAGCACUUGGCCUAUACUAGUUGCAUUUUAUUCAUUCUCAUAUUUCACUUGCUAACUACGAUGAUGGUCACCAGGAUGAGUCUCCAUAACCGAGGAGCAACGACGAUUCGAACCGAUUAUACCCAGCUGGGGAUCUCUAACCACACGACAUAUGUAGCACUUAACCCUUGCAUAUGUCAACCGUUCCCACGGAGUCCUCCACUACAUGAACAGGUCCACGCCACCUGAGAGCACAUUACCUACCAGGCGUGCGCUGUGCCAGGAGGGUACAUGCUACUCUCGCCAUCUCUCCACUCCUAGUGCAUGAUUGUCUCUUCACGUAUGGAAUAGUCGGGUUCAAGCUUACCCUGUCCCAUACCAGGGUAUGUGGCUAGUUGCAAAGUCUCAACCACAACAGGCCAGUCAACGGUACGGUCCUUAAUCAACACAGACGGGCGACCAUGUCAGCUCAGCGUCUGGUCUCGAUUUAUUCAAACCAUUUCCCCAUUUUUGGUACCCGGCAGGGGUACUCUUUUCGAAUGAUGAACCCAUCCGGAGCCUUGAUGGACUCAUCAUCAUAAGUUUUCUUUCACUUUUGAAUCAAAAGCCCAUAACCAAUGUUACACAUUAUUCUUUUGAAAAACAAAUGAUUUUUGAGUUUCUAAGCAGGACUAAGCAGUAAUAAUUCUUUUUAUGAAACAGGGAUUUAGGAAUUUUCAAGGAAUGAUAAUGCAUCAAUUGUUUAUCACAUAACUCCUAUCACCUAAUGCAUCAUAUCAGGUGAUAAAGCAUUUAAAACGCAAGGAAGGGGCAAAUGCACCGGGGCUUGCCUUAUUACAGUAGGAAAUCUGAGAUCUUCUAUUACGAUAAGCAGUUAGAUGGAAUCCACCACUGGAUCAGCAGAACUAGAACAGGCUCCUUCUUCACAAAUCACUUCUUCUUGGUACUCUAUAUGAAAUGUCAUGAUUAUGAAUGCCUGUGUCUAUGCUACUAGCAAGGAAGGUAUUACGAAGCAUUACGAAAUUACAAUUACAAGCUAUCACCAAAAGCCAUAACUACCAGGGAGCUACUUAUCCUUAGAACUCAUCUAACCAUCCAAAACAUGCUAAACAACUUCAUUUUACACGAACACAUUAGAUGCCCAUUUUUCUCGGACUUUCUCCCACAUUUACGUAUAUAUCCGAACCAUACCUGCUCUAACACGCGGAAAGCCGAUGAAGCGAGAGAACCACAUGGAGAAAGUAUGCCGAGCAUGACGGCCUGCUGGGCAUGAGGAACUGCAUGAGAAGACGACACUAAUAAAUACUAAGUACACGGCCGACAAUUCCAAACAUAUAAAAAUCGACGACGUACCAGCGAGACAGGCAGCUAGCAGCUUUACGAUGACACCGCGAGCACGACGAGGUCGGAAGAGAGGCUGUGGGUCAAGGAAAUCAACGACGCGAAGGAGCUGCGAGGUUGAGCGUGGCCGAUGAGGAGACAACAACCAUGAGCAUGUUGCAGCUCACAGCAUGAUGGGGAACUGCGGCAAGCACAACAAGCAAGGCUGCACGACGAGCGUCGGCACGGCGUGGAAGCUGCAGGACGACGUCAGCCCUCACCAACGAGGUCGGCGGAUGGCAAAGCGUGGAGUUGGAAGACGGUACCAGGCCGGCGAGCUGGAACGUGUGCGAUGGAGCAGCGACAGAUGGUCGGUCGAGCGCGUGAGGAAGCAGCUCAAGGCAUGGAAGAGCAGCAACAGCGCCCAAGCCAGCGUGAGAAGGGAGCUCGCGUCCAGGCUCAGUAUCUGGGACUUGAGCACAGGGUACAAGGCGAAGGCGAGUGCUAUGCGCUAUGCGUGAGAGUUCAAUUGGAGCACGUUCACUGAAAGAAAUAUCUGAAGCCGAGAUAGAGAGAGAGACGUGAGAGAUUUCUAGAGAGUGUACGUGUGCACCGGAUAAAAGAGAGAACGUUGAGAGAUGCAACUAGAAUGGAUAGGAAGGAGCGCUUGAAUUAUCUAGACGAGAGAAAUGAUGUGGAGAUAAGGAAGAGAAUAAAGAAUUUCAGAGAGACGUUUCAGAGAGUGGACGUCUGCACCAAAUUGCAUGCCCCAAACUGAUCCAAGUUUCAGUUAUCAGCACCUGAAUCCCACACUUCUUCGACAGAACCCCCAUCUUAAUCCCCUUAAAUCUCACGAUUCCAAAUGAUAAUAGUGAACAGACCAUAACAUAAAUUGCUCUCCGAACAUCCUUCUACAUCUUUGCUGCAGAAUUCCUAGUCCAAAACCCCACGGAUUUGGUACUAUAAACCUCCAAAAUUGAGCACAAAUUCACAAAAACUCAGUUUGCAGCUAACUGAACCAGAGUUCAGACCAUACCCAACUGACGGAGGAUGUUUAGGUGCAGUUUACUCUCAGAUUUGUACAGCAUUAAGCCUAUCUAUCCUUAGAAAACUUGCUCACCUUACUUUGGUCUCCAAGUUUGGUACAGAAACUACGGUCUAAAACCACUCACAUUGAUCACAAAACUGCUCUAAACUAGGAAUUCCACAUUGAAAUUCAGAUUUCAGAGACAGAAUAAAAUUCAGCCCAAAUAACUUGACAGUCCAAUUUUGAGUAAUUUUUACUCCAUGUUCCGAGUCAGAUCAAGCCUAACUCACACAACGAAAUUUGUUCACUGACAUAUGCUCUUCAACUCUUCCAUAGCAAACAUGGUCCAAAACUGCAUAGAACAGGCAGCACACAGCCCCAAAACUGCACUAAAAACACUGAUUUCAGACUUAGGCAACUAUUCGAAGUCUGAAAAUCUAGAAGUCUGAGAGUCCUACUUUGAACACCUUUUUAUCCUAGUUGCAUAUGGUUUUAGGGCUACCACAUUUCAUAAACAUUGUUCUCCUAUAGUUACUCUACAGGUUUGUUAUAACAACGGUUUCCAAAAUACUCAUGGAUUAAAAGUUACAGGGAUUCAAAAACAGAUAAACAAAACUGUUUUGGGCUGAUUCCAACUGACCCAAAUCUGAAUUUUUGCAAAUAACUUCAAAUUUUCCCACAUCACUUGGAGAGCUCCAAAUAUGAAAAUUGUUCACUUUUCCAAGCUCCACAACUUUGAUAUAUGAACUUUUAGCAAAACAUAGCUAGAUCUUAAAAUCCACUUUUGGGCUAGUUUAGAGUUGAAAUUGGAUUUGAUCUGCUUCAAGCAUUUCAUCAAUUUAUUGCAUCCUACUAAAAACAAGGUUAACCUUAAGCUCAAACCCAACUUUGGUGUAUAGAGCUCAUGUCCAAAUUUCCAUUGGUUUAAAAUUUGUUUGCUUGUACUAGAUUUCAAACAAGGUCUCUGAACUUCUCUUGCUCUCUUCGAAACGACACAACCUCACCCUUUUGCAAAUUUGUUAUUCUAGUGAAUGCAUUCUAGGUGUAUCAAGCAAGUUAAUGCAAGUGUAUAUGAUGAAAUGUCAAAUUUUUAGUUCUCGUAACACCAGGGGUGUUACAGCACACCAAUGCUAGUGCGGAUAUGUAAUUAGGUGUUUGUAAUAUAAGACAUGCAAUCGUUCUAAAGACACUAUUGUACAUGAUAUUCAUAGGAUGUGACAAAUAAAUAAAGGUAGUGGGCAGGCUCGUACUUUAGGGAGGUACCUCUUGGGUACCCUAUAAAUACAUUGCACGAACAGGAUGAGGGGACGACUGAUAAGACAUUUGAGAACCGUUGUUCUACAUUUGUCGUGCUGCUACACUCUUGUCGUAGUCCUUAUUUGAGGUCCCCCUGUCAGGUCCCAACAUUGAUGCCCACAGUGUCUGCUUCGAACAAUCACCCCAUGAUGUCUCCAAAAAAAUUAUCACACUACCACAACUCGCUAUCAAGUCAGCAGGAGCAAAGGCUACCUACGCUCACGACAAUGAAACCAUGAAUCAUCGAUGAUAAUUCUUUAGUGUGUGUAGUGGUGAUGUUGCUUGUUGCUUUUGGUAACAUUAAGUGCUCAGGACUCCUUUCCAUUUUAUGCCCAUUUUCAUCAUCAUCUUGCCCUUCCAUUUGCAGGUCAACAAUUCUAUUGGAUAUGUUACCUAAGACAUUCAUGAAAAGCUUGACUAGCUGACCCAUUUAUGUUGUCAAGGAAUUUGUUUUUGCUAAGUAAGCAAUAUUUGCUCCAUAUCAUUCUUUACUCUUGAACCACUAGUGUCAGGGUCUUUUCUUUAUCUUCACCUCCAUCUCCUGCAUUGAUUAUAUUAGUCGAUACGUCAUGUAAAUUUCAUUCCUCAGUAUCAUCAUCUAACACUAUAGAAUGUGUGAUUUCAGAGUAGUGAGUGGAACCGGGGCGUUCCUCCAGUGAUUCACUAGAAUCUCCAUCUGAUUCUUCUCCUUUAGAAUUUUCACUGUUAACACAUGGUGGGGUACCUGCUAUUUUUUGUGAUGCAAUCAACUUAAGACGAAUACUAGCACCCCCUCAUUGUGUAGCACUCUCUAAUGAGGGGUUAUAUUAUGGAGGGCGAGACUCUAGAUUUAUGUAAGGACGUGGUGACAGCCCACCUCGUGAUCUCACACUAGCUGCUGAUUUUUUUGAUGUGAUGGGGAGGCAUCACUACCGGGCACAGUUGCUUUGCCGAGCACUCGGUAAAGUCUGGAAAACGCUCGGGGAAGUCUUUGCCGAGUGUGACUCUCGACAAAGAAGUCUCGGCAAAUUGUACAUCGGGAACGGCUUCUUUGCCGAGUACUUUUUGUUGGGCACUCGGCAAAGGCUUUGUCGAGUGUCACCUGGUACCCAGCAAAGAAAAGUCGCCAUCAUGGCACCAAGUGACGGUGAUGGAGCCUUUGCCGACUGUCCUCCAUGACACUAGGCAAAGACUCCCUCUUUGCUAAGUGUCUGUUGUACUAGCGCUCGGUAAAGAAGCCCUCGCGAGCCCCUUUGCUAGUGCCUUUACCGAGUGUCAUCUAGACUAGCUCUCGACAACGGGAGAAUUAGUGGGCCCCUUUGCUAGCCUCUUUGCCAAGUGCAUUAGGAGGCACUCGGCAAAAGCCGCUUCUUUGUCGAGUGCCUCUGCCACAACACUUGGCAAAUAAACUUUACCGGUUCUUAGGUGUGCCUUCUUUGCCGAGUGUAACACUCGGCAAGUGACCAGAAUACCCCUUUUUAUUUAUUUUUUUCAUUCCAUCCAAAUAAACAAAACAUAUAUCACAUAAUCAUCAUAUAUACAUCACAGAGCUCACAGAAUCAUCACAUACAUCAAACACACGACAUAGCUCACAAAGAUCACAUGUUUCUUCACAAAGAUCACAAAGUCACAAGUAUCACAAAAUAGUUCACAACACUAACAAGUACUCGCAUAAAUGAGUCCACAAACAUCCAAUAUAUGCCAUAAAACAUGUCUUACAACUAAGUUUAGAAGAACAUCAGCGAGGUGGGCGGUUGGAUUGGUUCGACGAUGGGCUAGGCUAUCCAUGAGGGUUGUUUGAUGCUGCAGAUUGUCCCUGCAGAGAGAAGAGAUUGCAUCUAUGAGACCAGAUGAAUAUAUAUCAUGCAGAGAACUAUUUUGUGGCUUGCAAGUUCACAUCUGAAUUAUCCAAAGAAAUUCAAUUAAACUAACUAAAUCUAAUAAUUAUAGCAAACACUUUGAUAAUUAUGCCAAAAUUGGACAUGUAGGUAUAUAUAGUGUAGGAACACAGUAGAGAAAGUUUGGUGGAGAAAAGAAAAAAAAUAAAAAUAUACUUUGUCGAGUGUCGGCUAAGGACACUCGGCAAAGAAUUACUUUGUCGAAUGCUUUCCUAAAGCACUCAACAAUGAAGGUAUUUUGUCGAGUGUCUGCUGGGAACUCUCGGUAAAGCUAACGGUCGUCAGCCAGCGGCGGAUCCAGGAUUAAUCCAAGAGGGGGGCUGGCUACUAAGUUAAAACUAUAACAAAAAAUUUAAACCAAACAAAAAAUAUAAUUGAUGUUUAAUAUGACAUAAGAAGCAAGAUAUAAUUUAAACAUUCAAGAAAUAUGUAGUCUAAAAAUAAGUCGAUACAAAAUUUAUAAAUACAAUAAUCUUGCACAUACCGUUCAUGAGUUGAUGCUACGAGGUAAAUUUAUCUUCCUAGUUCUAAGCCUUGAAAAUGCUUCAAAAUCUUUUUAUAUUGAAUUUCUACAAACAUAAGGAAAUCACCGGCGCUCGGCGGGUGGCCGGUGAGCGCAGGGCGCCUGCACCUGGGCGGUGGCGCAGUGGCCGGUGCCGCGGACCGCGGUGCCUGGCUGCGUGCGCGCCUGCGCGGUGCGGUGGCCGCUGGCCGGUGGGCGCAGCGCAGGGCGCCCGCGCGGCUGCGCCUGGGCGGUGGGCGUGCGGCGGAGCUGGCCGACGAGCUGCAGCUUGACGCAGGCACUCAUCGGGCGCGAGGUGUCAUGCGGAGGUCCUGCGUGGCGACGGCCGUGACUCGGAGGUAGACGAGCUUGGACGAGAAGUAUACCUUGGCGCGCGUGGACGCGAUGGUCGUCAGAGUGACCACGCAGGCGGCGGCUUCUUAGGUUAGAAGCGGGGCUGGCGGCUGGGCAGUAACCACGCGCACGGAAGCAGCAGAGUUGGGCACGGGUGAUAGCCUGAUAGGCCUAUUCUCUACUCCUACUCGCGUUAUUGGGCCACGACUGGGGCUGCAGCCCAGGCAGCCCCGGUCGGGAAUCCGCCCCUGUCGUCAGCUACCGUCGGUAGGUGACAACACUUAGCCGAGAGCCCUUUUUAGCCGAGUACUUGGCUCUCGGCAAAGAAGUAUUCAUCGAGAGCCUUUUUAUGCCACGAGUUUGGCCCUCGACAGAGACUCUCUUUGCUGAGUGUCGUUCUAUGCCGAGAGCAACACUUGGUAAAGUAUGUUUUGUCGAGUACCCGAUAAAUAGCUCUCGGUAAAUAGCUAGACACUCGACAAAGAGCUGGAUUUCGGUAGUGCAUGAUGCUGUUGAAGACCUCAUCCCACCCUCAUCAUCUUGAUAAAUGGACAUCCUGAUCCACAUAUGGACCUCUCCUAUAUUAGGAUGAAGUCACUUUCGGAGAAACUUGCCUUGGGAUUGGGAACUAUUUCCUCAUUCGAAAGAUAAGAGAACUCAUGUGUUACUUGUAGUGGCACCCAUUUAGGGUCAUCGCUUCAUUUUGAGAGUGUCGAAAGAGUGUCACAUAUUGCAACAUCAUUAUCAAUAACCCUCGCAUUAUCAACAUCUUUCAUAUGAUGAUCGUCAUCUGGGGCAAUUUGUGAUGCCUCUUUACUAUUCUUCUCAAGCUCUCAAGGUGGUGUGUUGGGCUUUUAUUUACCCGAUCUCCUUUGGAGGAGUUGGAGCAUUUGAUUUUUCCUUUACAUGAUUUUUAGUAUCGACUUCCAUUGUGGGCUCCUUUAGUUUAGGAGAACCAAUCCCGUGAUUGGACGUAAUUGUUCAUGUGUUCUCCUAUAAUUUUUAGACCUAGGUACGAGACAUUCCACCAAACACCUAUACCUUUCAUUCUGCUUCAAUGUAGGGGAGAGACACAACAUAAUUUUAUCAUAGAAUGGCUGGACAUGGCCUUUCGGUCACACUCAUACCUGCACAUUAUUGAGCACCCAUUCUUGAAGCUCUUGGUACAAAAUGUGUUGAUUAUUUCAACAAUUUUCACGUUUGCAUUUGUUCGUUGAUGGAACAUAUGCGGUAGUAGGUUGGAUUGGUGCUGUUAGUAGUAAUGUCAGAUUCUAUUGAGAGCAUGAUAUAGUUGCAAUAUGAGUGGUGCACUUAUAAGUUGUUUCUUAUUGAAGCAUCAUCAUCCUUUGGAACUCAAAUUAGAUACAAAUAGUAGUCCUAGAAGUCUAGUAUACACAUUAAUACAUCGGAUGAUUCUAAAUCUGCUUAAACGAGACAAACCUAUACAGUUGACGAUCAAGUUUAAGAGUUGGUCCACAACUCAUGACAUAUCAUCAGAGUGAGACUAGAGCAGUCCAAUAUAUGUAGCGAAGCAAAUCAGCGGUCCAACAACCAUAAGUAUGGUUGGAAAACAAGCGUAACUCUUACGUGAUCAGUGAUCUACUUCUCUAAAAACAACAAAUAACUAAGAGUGAGUAUUUAUGUACUCAAUAGCCAGGGAAUGGAGAAAUCAUAUAUACAUGCAUGAGUAAGUGCAGCUCAGAGUACUUUGCAGAAAAAGCCAUUUUAAUGUAGGUUUGUUUUGUAAAAUAUUUUAUCAUUUUCAAAGCACAUUCUCUCCCGAAGGAGUAAAAAGUUUUUUUCAUUAUCAGAUCAAAUCCCCUGAACUAAACCAUCCAACAAUCUUGGUAGUUUCCCACCGAUUUUCUUUUCAAAACCAAAAGCAACUACUGGACUUCUCAUUCACUGUAGCUCGCGGAUUGCGUUCAGAAGAGAUAAGGAUCCUUUUCGGAAGCGGUUGGAGCUUUCGAUGAUUUCCCACAUAAAAAUAGAAUUAAGGAGAAUAUUAGCAUCCUGUUGGACUUGCUCUAACGUCUAAAACCAUAAUUGAUAUUAAGAUUCUAAAAUAUUGAGAAUAAAGUGUUCAAAUUCAUCUGAUAACCGUUAUUAUUCCCGAGUGCUAAUGGAUAAUGUUUCUUCACAAUUUAUAAUUUGUUAGGGUUCUAAAAAUAUUUUAGUUCAAAAAUAAAUAGAAAGAGCCUAAUCCUAAUCUAUUUUUAGUUCAAAAAUAAAUAGAAAGAGCCUAAUCCUAAUCUAAGCCUUAAAUUUUAUAGUGUAAAAUUUAGAGCCCAUUGUCAUGUCACCCUAUUCCCAACACAACAAUGGAUCUUCCGCUUUUAAAAGAUGAGUCUUCUCAGAAAUAUCAGUAGUUCAGCAGCAUUGCAAGCAUUAGGAUUUAGGGCCGACCAAUCUCAUAACUGGUCAUUUCGUUAUAGUAAAAACCAAGUUGCAGGUACCAAUUCAGCCAUAAAAAAGAACAGGUAUACCGAGAUCUUAAAAUACGGUAUACCACAAAGGAGAUGAUACAAUUGCUUAGAGAAGCUUCACUCGCUCUGAGUUCUAUUGUAUAUCUCUCACUACGCCUGAAUCAGCUAAGAACAGGGAAUAUGCGUGUUAGGUGCUCAAAUGGAACGGUAUCAGCUGUGUUCUUCUUGAGCUGGGGGUGAUUGAACUCAUUGCGUGGAAGAACAAUCACUUGAGACUGCCCACCCUUCUCAAUUACCCAACCUGAGUUCGCAGCAUGGUACUCAAGAAACUUGUCCAAAGCGAGACCUUCAAUGUUGAUUGCCUGUAAAGAGAAGUGUGUUAAUAUCAAAGAAGAAACCAUCCAUGUAGCAUACCCCAUGGAAACCUAGCACAAACUGGAUGGACAUUAAUCAAUGAUUAUGGUACAAUUGACACAAAGCAUACUCCCACCUACCGUCUAGUAUGCUUCUAACAUAUUACCAGCCAUAUGAUAUAUAAAACAGGUUUAUGUGGCAUCAGCACUUACUGAAGAACUUGAACAUUGAUUAAACAAGGAAUUACCUCUGCAAGAAUAUGCCUUGGAACUUUCUGGUAUGUCAAGGAAAGUACAUGAAUUGCAUAGGAUUGGAUUGCCUGCUCAAAACCUGCAAAUUAUGUAGAGUCAGGACAAAUGAUGACAUAGAUUAAAAUGCAUACCACCUGGACUAAAAUAUCAUCCAGCUGCUAUUAAUGUUUGAAUAAAUCCACAGAAAAUUCUAGCCCUCAGGCAUUCUUCCCAUCCCAUUGAAACGACCAAGGUAAAAUGAGGUUAACAUGAAAAUUAAAUGGUUAGGAAAAUAAAAAAUAUCAAUAUUAAACACUAAGUGACAGAACAUGAAAGUUACAGAAAAUAAUUUACUUACGCAUUAGGGAUGAAAACGGAUACUUAUUCGGAUGUCAAUUUUUGGUCUUUUUCCUUUGAUUGUAAAUAAAUUGGAUAUAGAAUCUGCUAUACAAAUUCAUAUUCUUGGUUUUAGCAUUGAGCUGGUAAAUAUUUAUAAAAGGUAACCCUCAAAUUUAUCAUAUAUCUUCUUAAGUGAUAGAUAUAAAAUCCGGUUUCGGAUACGGAAAUUUUGUCACCUUUUUUGUUGUAGGGAGCAAAUAAUUUAUAAAAGAAUUUAUGCAAAAUUUUGUUCUUAUUUGUAAUAAUGUGCUUGAUAUCAUAAGAAAAGAUUAGCAACGAAUUUCAUACAUAUCUAUUUUAAAAUAUUAAAUUUGUCCUAACAAUUCGGAUACCCACUUUCAUGCCUAUUGGGCAUGAAUAAGCAAUGUAACACUUCAGCCAACACCAAUGACAAAAAAACACUUGCACCUAAGUCUGACAACUGGAACAUCAUUUCAAUUUCUACUAGAAAUCCAGUGAAAACAUUAAAACUUUUAACAUUCAUAAGAAUUACUCUGGGCAUUAAGUCUCAUAUUGAUGAGACAAGUUCACAUUACAAUAUGUAACAGACUGCAUAUCUCAGACUCAAUGGCUCAAGAAGUAUAUUUACCUGGAACUGCUUCCAAUAUGUGGCGGUUGUUUGCUGCGUCAUCCCAAAACUGCCUGAACCUAGCAGUCUUUAAGCAAAAUACUUAUGUUGGCUUUAGAUUCCCCGCUAGUUUUUAGUUCUGAACAUAAGUUAGACCAAGUAUGUACCUCUAGAUAGUGAGAAAGAACUAUCAAUGCCUUGAAUUGCUCUUCCAUUUGCUGAAACAAAGACACAGACAAGUAGACUAAACAUGCUGACAAAAUAAUGCAGCCAAAAAAUGUAAAGGCAACAGGACAGCUCCUGUAUGGAAUCUCUGCAUCUGUGACAUUUGCGAGACUAGUCUGCUUCCUGCAAAUUUUCAAACUCGCAGAGCACAAUAUAUAUUCAAGCAUGGAUGUGGGGGCUUCUUUACCAAAUAUUUAUAAAUAUUGGAUAUUGUGCACAUUAAUCACACACAAGCCUCAAUUAAACACACUGUAUUGCAGGUCUACACAGCACCUCUGAUACUAUUGAACUAAAAGUGCAGGAUGUAAUUUUUCAUACCACAUGUUCAGGAAUUAAGAAUAAGCAAAGACUGAAGUCAGGGGCCGGCAUUGCCAUGAGAGCCUGUAAACAGAACAUCAUGGCAAAAGCCAAAAAUAGUCAGAAGCGAACUCAGAUAUACUACCUAUCAAUGAAAUCGAUGCAGCCAUUAAAUGUUCCAACCUUGAUCAGUAUGUGGGCCACAAUAUGUAUGCUCAUCCUUCCUGGCUCAAACUACAAAAGGAAAGUAGUAACUAAGAAAACAUAUGUAUGGACUAUGGGGCCAUGAUACUUGUAAAAAUGAUGUCCCUAGAUAUUCGUUGUUACCUGGUACAGGCGAAGAAGGCUGAGAUUUGCAUCCAAGUUAUAUGUUUGAGACGCAACCUAAACAGGACAAAAGAAAAGGAUCAAAACAUUAAGCAAAACUAAUGUUGCAAGAAGUCCAAAAUACAAAGCAUGUGUGUAACUUAUAAACUAAAGAAAGUUGCCAGACAAUGAAUUGAUUCAAGCGGUUCAUUUUAUGGGUAUCAUCCACCAAAUAUUUCAUUUUGCAACAGCAAUAUCAUUUGUCUCACAUCAUAAAACUGAAAACAUCUUAUAACAGCAAUGGCAAACCAAACCUGCCUAUUAUGUAUUAUGAUCAUCAGAAUAGUAUUCCUUCUUAACUCAAGACGGAACCCUAGAUAGUACAGCUACAAGGUUCAUCUAUUUUUUUAGGAACUCCUGCUGAACACUUGUGAUAAACGCACUCGAGCACCAUUCUGAAUAACAAAUAUAUAUGCUUCGAGACGCCUGCAAAGGUGUUCAAUAUCCAUAACUUUUCAGUAUCAUCGAAACACAGCGAUAGGCACUAAAGCUACAGUUAAUCUAGCAUCUGACUGCUCCAUAAUUUCACCACCGUUCAAACGCAAACAUGAAGCACCGGUAAAAAUGGUAUCUAACCCCCCCCCCCCCCCCACACACACACACACACACAAGAAAAAACAGCAGGGACAAGACGUAGUUAGGGUUUACUUGCUCGUUGACGAACUUCUCAAGGUCGUUGAGGAUGUCGGGGUUGUACGGAUUCAGGGCCACAAGGUCCUCCACCGUGUAGUUCUCCGCCUCUUGCUCUGUCGCCAUGGCAGCCGGUCUCGAGAACCCCAAACGCUAGCUCGAUCUCGCGCGGGAGCCGGAGUUGACGGGAGGGGAAGUUGGCGGCGCGGCGGAGGAGAGGAGAAUGAAGAGUUUUCAGAGGGAAGGCGUAUGCGGACCGAAGCAGAGCCGUUGCCAAAAAGGCCCGCCCGCCCGUGUCGAUUCUUUUCCUUUGUCGGCUCGACGGCCCAUGGGCUUUCGUUUCAACACUAAUCGAGUAGAUUGGAUAGUAUUCAGUCGUUCUAAAUCGUCAAAAUUUAUCUUAAUCUAUUCCAAUACACUCUAAUUCAUAUAAAAUUGGAAUAAUAGAACAAGGUCUCAGGUGGUCGACAUCGUGUACCUCUCCCACCAAUCAUAUGUCGCGCUACGCUUGUAUCAGUCUUUUUAAAAGAUUCUCUUCUUUGUAUCUUCAUUUCCAACAACAUUCUCUAUAUCUAGUUCUCUAUACCUAAAUACACAUAAAUACCUAUAUUAGGGACAUAUUUUACUUUUAAUUUUUGCACAUACGAUAUUUGUCAUACAAUCAAAUUAAUUGCACACAUUUUAGUUUUGCUAAAUUCGUUGUUUUAUAUAUUAAGACUGGUAAAGGAGGGGAUAGAGAAACUCUAUAUAGAGAAGAUCAAGCAGCGUCCUCUAUAUUUAGAGGAUCGUUUAGAGGACGCCGCUGGAGACAUAAAGGAUAGGGAUCUUUUCUAAAAUUUAGGAUAGAGGAGGCUUUAGAGUGAAAGGGAAAUGUGCCCUUGGGCCAUUUCUAAGUAUUUUGUUGAUUGAGUGCCAACACAAGUACUCAAAUGUGAAUCUAUGCGCAUGGAUGAACAAAGUGCAAAUCAAGAGCUAAGGUAUGUUUCUAAGUCUUAGUACAUUGGUUUUAUGUACUAAUAUACUUGUCUAAGUAUCAGAAACAGGAAGAAGAAGAAAAGAGGAGAGUUGGCUGUGUACAGCCAAGAGGCUGUUUCGGUCUGGGGCACCGGACUGUCCGGUGCGCCAGGUUGCCUCGAGCAAAGUGGCCGCCCUCGGGAAUUCGCCGACGGCGUACGGCUAAAAUUCACCGGACUGUCCGGUGAGCCAACGGUCGGCCGCGCGAUCUGCGCAGGACACGUGGCCGAGCCAACGGUCGGAAGGGGGCACCGGACUGUCCGGUGUGCACCGGACAUGUCCGGUGCGCCAACGGCUCCCGCAUCUGCAACGGUCGACUGCGCUGUUUAAGGAAGGAAAUCGGGCACCGGACAGUGUCCGGUGCGCCCGACGACAGAAGGCAAGGACAGCCUUCCUGGUUUGUUCUCAACGGCUCCUAGCUGCCUUGGGGCUAUAAAAGGGACCCCUAGGCGCAUGGAGGAGCACACCAAGCAUUCCUACAACAUUCCUAAGCACCAAGACAUCGAUCUCACGCAUUCGUUUCAUUGUGAUAGCAUCUAGAGCUCUUGUGGAGUUGUGAACUCUUUGAGUUGUGUUGCGAGCUCUUGUUGCGACUUAUGUGCGUGUUGUUGCUCUGAUCUUUUGAAGUCUUGUGUGCGUUGCUCAUUCCCCCUUUGCUCUGUGUUCUUUGUGAACUUCAAUUGUAAGGGCGAGAGGCUCCAAGUUGUGGAGAUUCCUCGCAAACGGGAUUGAGAAAAAGCAAGCAAAACACCGUGGUAUUCAAGUGGGUCUUUGGACCGCUUGAGAGGGGUUGAUUGCAACCCUCGUCCGUUGGGACGCCACAACGUGGAGUAGGCAAGCGUUGGUCUUGGCCGAACCACGGGAUAAACCACUGUGUCAUCUCUGUGUUUGAUCUCUUGUGGUAUUGUGUUUUGUCGAGACUCCUCUCUAGCCACUUGGCAAUUAUUGUGCUAACCCUUAACAAGUUUUUUUGUGGCUAUAAGUUUAAGUUUCGCAGGAUCACCUAUUCACCCCCCCCCUCUAGGUGCUCUCAAUUGGUAUCAGAGCCGUUCUCUUCAAGAAAGGGACUAACCGCCCGAAGAGAUGGAUCCUAAGGGGAAGGGAAUCGUGAUCAACGACAAGGAAAAGGAGUCCUUCGUCAACGAGCCAAAAGAUGACAAAUCCAACGACUCUGGCUCGGGCCACAGACGUAAAGAUGGGAAGAAGAAGAAGACAAAAUGUAUCAAGGAGAUCGUCUACUACGACAGCGACGAGUCUACUUCUUCCCACAAGGACGACGACUACGACAAACAAAAGACGGUUAACUCAAACUUCUCUUUUGAUUAUUCGCGCAUUCCGCACAGCUCAAAUGCUCAUUUGCUCCCAUUCCACUUGGCAAGCCUCCUCACUUUGAUGGAGAGGACUACGGAUUUUGGAGUCACAAAAUGCGUACACACCUAUUUUCUCUCCAUCCAAGCAUUUGGGAGAUUGUGGAAAGUGGAAUGAAAUUUGAUAGCUCGGAUAGUCCUUCAUUUAUUAAUGAACAGAUCCAUAAAAAUGCACAAGCUACUACUGUGUUGCUAGCCUCUUUGUGCAGGGACGAGUAUCACAAGGUGAGCGGCUUGGACAAUGCCAAGCAGAUUUGGGACACCCUCAAGAUCUCUCAUGAGGGGAAUGAUGUCACCUUACUCACCAAGAUGGAGUUGGUGGAGGGCGAGCUCGGACGAUUCGCGAUGAUAAGGGGCGAGGAGCCGACGCAAACAUACAACCGGCUCAAGAUCCUUAUCAACAAAAUAAGGAGCUACGGAAGCACGCGAUGGACGGAUCACGACGUUGUCCGCCUAAUGCUAAGGUCAUUUACCGUUCUUGAUCCUCAUCUCGUGAACAAUAUUCGUGAGAAUCCCAGGUACACGAAGAUGACGCCCGAGGAGGUACUCGGAAAAUUCGUAAGCGGGCGGAUGAUGAUCAAGGAGGCAAGAUACGUGGACGACGCCUUGAAUGGACCAAUCAACGAGCCUCAACCCCUUGCUCUCAAGGCAACAAGAAGCAAGGAGGCGCUACCUAGCAGGGUGGCACAAAUAGAGGCAGACGGACUUAAUGAUGAAGAGAUGGCCCUCAUCAUCAAAAGAUUCAAGACGGCGCUUAAAGGUCGCAAGGGACAGCCAAGCAAGACCAAAGCCAAGGGGAAGCGUUCGUGCUUCAAAUGCGGUAAGCUUGGUCAUUUUAUUGCUAACUGUCCCGACAAUUAUAGUGAUCAGGACCAAGGGAACAAGAGGGAGAAGAAGAAGAAUUAUAAGAAGGCAAAGGGCGAGGCUCAUCUUGGCAAGGAGUGGGAUUCGGACUGCUCCUCGUCUGACUCCGACAAUGAGGGACUCGCCGCCACUGCAUUCAACAAGUCAUCCCUCUUCCCCAACGAGCGCCACACUUGCCUCAUGGCAAGAGAGAAGAAGGUAAUCACUCGUAAUGAUGUCACUUAUGAUUCUUCUAGUGACGAUGAGUCUAGUGAUGAUGAAAUAGAUUACUCUAGUUUGUUCAAGGGAUUAGAUAGAAGUAAAAUUGAUAAAAUCAAUGAAUUGAUUGAUGCCUUGAAUGAAAAGGAUAGGCUUUUAGAAAAGCAAGAGGAUUUGUUGUAUGAUGAACAUGAUAAGUUUAUAGAAGCACAAAAAUCACUUGCUUUAGAGAUUAAGAGAAAUGAAAUGCUUUCUUGUGAGUUGUCUACAUGUCAUGAUUCAAUUUCUAGUUUAAAAAGCAUAAAUGAUGAUUUAAAUGCUAAGCUAGAAAAAUCUAGUAAAUCAACAUCUUGUGUAGAACAUGUUGUGAUUUGCACUAGGUGUAAAGAUUUUGACAUUGAUGCGUGUAGUGAACACCUAGCUUCAAUUUCUAAAUUGAAUGAUGAAGUGGCUAGUCUUAAUGCUCAACUUAAGGCUAGCAAAAGCGAAUUUGAUAAGCUAAAAUUUGCAAGGGAUGCCUAUACGAUUGGUAGACAUCCCUCAAUUAAGGAUGGACUUGGCUACAAAAGGGAAGCCAAGAACUUGACAAGCCAUAAGGCUCCCAUCUUCAUCAAGGAGAAAGGGAAGGCCCCUAUGGCUACUAGUACUAAAAAGAACCAUGCCUUUUUGUAUCAUGAUAGGAAAAAUUCUAGAAAUGCUUUUAGAAGUUAUGAUGCUUUUGAUUCACAUGCUUAUAAUUCUUAUGCUAUGACUGCUUCUAAUUCUCAUGUCGUGCAUGAUAGAAAGGUUGGUAGAAGAAAUGUUAUUCACAAUAUACCUAGGAGAAAUGUUGUUAAUGCUCAUAGGAAAUUAAAUGAACCUUCUACAAUAUAUCAUGCUUUGAAUGCUUCCUUUGCAAUUUGUAGAAAGGAUAGAAAGGUGAUUGCUAGGAAAUUAGGGGCAAAAUGCAAGGGUGAUAAAACUUGCAUUUGGGUCCCUAAGACAAUUGUGACUAACCUUGUAGGACCCAACAAGAGUUGGGUACCUAAGUCCCAAGCCUAAAUUUGCCUUGCAGGUUUAUGCAUCCGGGGGUUCAAGCUGGAUUAUUGACAGCGGAUGCACAAACCAUAUGACGGGGGAGAAGAAGAUGUUCACUUCCUACGUCAAGAAUAAGGAUUCCCAAGAUUCAAUUAUAUUCGGUGAUGGGAAUCAAGGCAAGGUAAAAGGGUUAGGUAAAAUUGCAAUCUCUAAUGAGCAUUCUAUCUCUAAUGUAUUUUUAGUGGAGAGUCUUGGAUAUAAUUUGCUAUCUGUUAGUCAAUUAUGUCAUAUGAGAUAUAACUGUCUAUUUACAAAUGUAGAUGUGUCUGUCUUUAGAAGAAGUGAUGGUUCACUAGCUUUUAAGGGUGUAUUAGACGGCAAACUUUAUUUAGUUGAUUUUGCAAAAGAAGAGGCCGGUCUAGAUGCAUGCUUAAUAGCUAAGACUAGCAUGGGCUGGCUGUGGCAUCGCCGCUUAGCACAUGUAGGGAUGAAGAACCUUCACAAGCUUCUAAAGGGAGAACAUGUGAUAGGUUUAACUAACGUGCAAUUCGAAAAAGAUAGACCUUGUGCAGCUUGUCAAGCAGGUAAAUAAGUGGGAGGAGCGCAUCACGGCAAGAAUGUGAUGACCACUUCAAGACCCCUGGAGCUGCUGCAUAUGGACCUCUUCGGACCUGUCGCCUAUCUGAGCAUAGGAGGGAGUAAGUAUGGUUUAGUUAUUGUUGAUGACUUUUCCCGCUUCACUUGGGUGUUCUUUUUGCAGGAUAAGUCUGAAACCCAAGGAACCCUCAAGCGCUUCCUCAGGAGAGCUCAAAAUGAGUUUGAGCUCAAGGUGAAGAAGAUAAGGAGCGACAACGGGUCCGAGUUCAAGAACCUUCAAGUGGAGGAGUUCCUUGAGGAGGAAGGGAUCAAGCACGAGUUCUCCGCUCCCUACACACCCCAGCAAAAUGGUGUGGUAGAGAGGAAGAACAGGACGCUAAUCGAUAUGGCAAGGACGAUGCUUGGAGAGUUCAAGACCCCCGAGUGUUUCUGGUCGGAAGCCGUGAACACGGCUUGCCACGCCAUCAACAGGGUCUACCUUCAUCGCCUCCUCAAGAAGACUUCGUAUGAGCUACUAACCGGUAACAAACCCAAUGUAUCUUACUUUCGUGUAUUUGGGAGCAAGUGCUACAUUCUAGUGAAGAAGGGUAGAAAUUCUAAGUUUGCUCCCAAAGCUGUAGAAGGGUUUUUGUUAGGUUAUGACUCAAAUACAAAGGCGUAUAGAGUCUUCAACAAAUCAUCGGGUUUGGUUGAAGUCUCUAGCGACGUUGUAUUUGAUGAGACUAAUGGCUCUCCAAGAGAGCAAGUUGUUGAUUGUGAUGAUGUAGAUGAAGAAGAUGUUCCGACGACCGCUAUACGAACCAUGGCGAUUGGAGAAGUGCGGCCACAGGAACAAGAUGAACGAGAUCAACCUUCUUCCUCAACUAUGGUGCAUCCCCCAACCGAAGAUGACGAACAGGUACCUCAAGUGGAGGCGCUUGAUCAAGGGGGAGCACAAGAUGAUCAAGUGAUGGAGGAAGAAGCGCAACCGGCACCUCCAACCCAAGUUCGAGCAAUGAUUCAAAGGGAUCAUCCCGUCGACCAAAUUCUGGGUGAUAUUAGCAAGGGAGUAACUACUAGAUCUCGAUUAGUUAAUUUUUGUGAGCAUUACUCCUUUGUCUCUUCUAUUGAGCCUUUUAGGGUAGAGGAGGCCUUGCUAGAUCCGGAUUGGGUAUUGGCCAUGCAGGAGGAACUCAACAACUUCAAGCGCAAUGAAGUUUGGACACUGGUGCCUCGUCCCAAGCAAAAUGUUGUGGGAACCAAGUGGGUGUUCAGCAACAAACAGGACGAGCACGGGGUGGUGACAAGGAACAAGGCUCGACUUGUGGCAAAAGGUUAUGCCCAAGUCACAGGUUUGGACUUUGAGGAGACGUUUGCUCCUGUGGCUAGGCUAGAAUCAAUUCGUAUCUUGCUAGCAUAUGCCGCUCACCAUUCUUUCAGGUUGUACCAAAUGGAUGUGAAGAGCGCUUUCCUCAAUGGGCCGAUCAAGGAGGAGGUGUACGUGGAGCAACCCCCUGGCUUCGAGGAUGAACGGUACCCCGACCACGUGUGUAAGCUCUCUAAGGCGCUCUAUGGACUUAAGCAAGCCCCAAGAGCAUGGUAUGAAUGCCUUAGAGACUUUCUAAUUGUUAAUGCUUUCAAGGUUGGGAAAGCCGAUCCAACUCUUUUUACAAAGACAUGUGAUGGUGACUUGUUUGUGUGCCAAAUUUAUGUCGAUGACAUAAUAUUUGGUUCUACUAACCAAAAGUCUUGUGAAGAGUUUAGCAGGGUGAUGACGCAGAAAUUCGAGAUGUCGAUGAUGGGCGAGUUGAACUACUUCCUUGGGUUCCAAGUGAAGCAACUCAAGGACGGCACCUUCAUCUCACAAACAAAGUACACGCAAGAUCUGCUAAAGCGGUUUGGGAUGAAGGACGCCAAGCCCGCAAAGACUCCGAUGGGGACCGACGGACACACCGACCUCAACAAAGGAGGUAAGUCCGUUGAUCAAAAAGCAUACCGGUCAAUGAUAGGUUCUUUGCUUUACUUAUGUGCUAGUAGACCGGAUAUUAUGCUUAGCGUAUGCAUGUGUGCUAGAUUUCAAUCCGAUCCUAAGGAGUGUCACUUAGUGGCGGUGAAGCGAAUUCUUAGAUAUUUGGUUGCUACGCCUUGCUUCGGGCUCUGGUAUCCAAAGGGGUCUACCUUUGACUUAGUUGGAUACUCAGACUCCGACUAUGCUGGAUGUAAGGUCGAUAGGAAGAGUACAUCGGGGACGUGCCAAUUCUUAGGAAGGUCCCUGGUGUCAUGGAACUCUAAUAAACAAACCUCCGUUGUCCUAUCCACCGCUGAGGCCGAGUACGUUGCCGCAGGUCAGUGUUGCGCGCAACUGCUUUGGAUGAGGCAAACCCUCCGGGACUUUGGCUACAAUCUGAGCAAAGUCCCACUCCUAUGUGAUAAUGAGAGUGCUAUCCGCAUGGCGGAGAAUCCUGUUGAGCACAGCCGCACAAAGCACAUAGACAUCCGGCAUCACUUUUUGAGAGACCACCAGCAAAAAGGGAGAUAUCGAAGUGUUUCAUGUUAGCACCGAGAACCAGCUAGCCGAUAUCUUCACUAAGCCUCUAGAUGAGAAGACCUUUUGCAGGUUGCGUAGUGAGCUAAAUGUCUUAGAUUCGCGGAACCUGGAUUGAAUUGUAGCAUACAUGUAUUUAUGCUUUUGAUCAUGUUCCUUUUUGCAUUUUUGUUGCUUAUUAUGGUGCUCAAGUUGUACAAACACUCCCUGGACCUCACAAGUCCGUUGCAAAGUGAUGCACAUGUUUAGGGGGAGAUGUGUUACAACUUGACCCUUUGAGACUAACCAUGUGCUUGAGUUGAUGAUUUAGUCUCGAAGGAGGAUUGAAAGGGAAAAGGUGGACUUGGACCAUGAAAGACUUCCACUUCACUCCGAUGAGAGGGUAACUUAUUCCAAGUUCAUCUCAUGAAAUCUUAUUGCAUUUGCUCUUAAUUGAAGACUUUGGUGAGGCAAUGGGGUUAAAGGGCCAAGAUUGAUCCCGUUUUGGUGCUUGAUGCCAAAGGGGGAGAAAAUAAAGGCCAAAGCGAUAAAUGGAUCAGCUACCACUUGAGAGAUUUUGAAAAUAGUAGAAUAGAGUUUUUGUUUUGUCAAACUCUUUUAUUGUCUCUUAUUGUCUCUCUUGUCAAAAGUUGGCUUCUUGUGGGGAGAAGUAUUGAUUAUGGGAAAUAGGGGGAGUUUUUGAAAUCUUUGAUCAAUCUCUUUUGGAAUGACUCUCUUUAUGCUUCAACAUGUGUGUUUGACUUAGAGAUAGAGAAUUGAGUUUGAUUUGCAAAAACAAACCAAGUGGUGGCAUAGAGUGAUCCGUAUAUGUCAAAAUUGAAUCAAAAUAAAUUUGAGUUUUAUUUGAAGUGAUAUUGCACUUGUUCUAGUUGCUUUAUGUUGUGUUGGCAUAAAUCACCAAAAAGGGGGAGAUUGAAAGGGAAAUGUGCCCUUGGGCCAUUUCUAAGUAUUUUGGUGAUUGAGUGCCAACACAAGUACUCAAAUGUGAAUCUAUGCCCAUGGAUGAACAAAGUGCAAAUCAAGAGCUAAGAUAUGUUUCUAAGUCUUAGUACAUUGGUUUUAUGUACUAAUAUACUUGUCUAAGUAUCAGAAACAGGAAGAAGAAGAAAAGAGGAGAGUUGGCUGUAUACAGCCAAGAGGCUGUUUCGGUCUGGGGCACCGGACUGUCCGGUGGUGCACCGGACAGUGUCCGGUGCGCCAGGUUGCCUCGAGCGAAGUGGCCGCCCUCGGGAAUUCGCCGACGGCGUACGGCUAAAAUUCACCGGACUGUCCGGUGUGCACCGGACUGUCCGGUGAGCCAACGGUCGGCCGGGCCAACGGUCGGCCGCGCGAUCUGCGCAGGACACGUGGCCGAGCCAACGGUCGGAAGGGGGCACCGGACUGUCCGGUGUGCACCGGACAUGUCCGGUGCGCCAACGGCUCCCGCAUCUGCAACGGUCGACUGCGCUGUUUAAGGAAGGAAAUCGGGCACCGGACAGUGUCCGGUGUGCACCGGACUGUCCGGUGCGCCCGACGACAGAAGGCAAGGACAACCUUCCUGGUUUGUUCUCAACGGCUCCUAGCUGCCUUGGGGCUAUAAAAGGGACCCCUAGGCGCAUGGAGGAGCACACCAAGCAUUCCUACAACAUUCCUAACCACCAAGACAUCGAUCUCACGCAUUCGUUUCAUUGUGAUAGCAUCUAGAGCUCUUGUGGAGUUGUGAACUCUUUGAGUUGUGUUGCGAGCUCUUGUUGCGACUUGUGUGCGUGUUGUUGCUAUGAUCUUUUGAAGUCUUGUGUGCGUUGCUCAUUCCCCCUUUGCUCUGUGUUCUUUGUGAACUUCAAUUGUAAGGGCGAGAGGCUCCAAGUUGUGGAGAUUCCUCGCAAACGGGAUUGAGAAAAAGCAAGCAAAACACCGUGGUAUUCAAGUGGGUCUUUGGACCGCUUGAGAGGGGUUGAUUGCAACCCUCGUCCGUUGGGACGCCACAACGUGGAGUAGGCAAGCGUUGGUCUUGGCCGAACCACGGGAUAAACCACUGUGUCAUCUCUGUGUUUGAUCUCUUGUGGUAUUGUGUUUUGUCGAGACUCCUCUCUAGCCACUUGGCAAUUAUUGUGCUAACCCUUAACAAAUUUUUUUGUGGCUAUAAGUUUAAGUUUCGCAGGAUCACCUAUUCACCCCCCCUCUAGGUGCUCUCAUAGAGGACCUGCUGGAGAGAGUCUUAGAGCAAGUAUGAUAAGGUGACGUAAGUGACCCAUAAAAUAUGUCACAUCGGAUUUAAAGUGAUGUGGAAGAAAAAAUAGAUAGAAGGAAAACGGACUCUUAACUAGUACUCACUCCGUCCAUAUGAAUUAAUCCUUUUGGAUUAAUAAAUCGAUCAUUAUCAAUUUUGACCGGUUAUAUCAGAUGUUUCAUAAGAUUUUACAAUAUAGAAGUAAAGUUUUUAAAUUUAUCAUGUUUCGAAUUACUAUAAUAUAUAAUUCUUUUAGUUUAAAAUAAUUUAAUAUUGUAUAUAUUGUUGGUCAAAAUUCAAAUAUUUGACUUAGAACAAACUCAAAACGACUAAAUUAUGUGGAUAGAGGAAGUAGCCAGCUGAAAGCAGGUUCUUCACAGGCUCAAGACAUGUUGUGAGACGGAGAGAUGGACCCGUAUUAAAUAUACAACUUGUAUUAUGAGAGAGUUAUUAUAUGACUUGGCUUUUAGUUAGCUCAACAUGACAUGGCUAUUUGUUAGCGCCAGUCGUCAACUGUGUUAUUAUCCUUGCUCUUACAACUGGUCACGUUGGUUCGCUUAGGUUCGAUCGAGUCAAUGUCGGGUCAUGGGUUAUUUGGCACAAUUUGUAUCUGAUCCGUGUCUAGUGUCAAGUCGGGUCGGGUUAGCCUGUGCUUCCUUGUUGGGCGUGUUGUGUCAUUUUUUGCUUUGAAUCGGGGUUUUCAGGUGGGGGUCGGGUUUUGGGGUAAAAAAUCAUGGUCUGUGUCAACCUGUGGAUUGUUCUGUGUCAAAAAAUUAUGGCUCAUACCCGCUCGUUGCAUUAGUUGGGUCGAGUCAGGGCGGAUUUUUUGGGUGGGUCAGGUAAGGUUGAUCGGGUCGGACGUCCAUGCACUAGUAUACAGAAGCUCUAUAGUGGUAGUUGUGAACCUAUUUUCACUGGCGUUUUUAGAACCGCCAGUGUUAGGGGUACAUGCGGAUAACUGAGGACCGCCAGAAGAGACCUCGGCCCACCCCACCCGUCGCAAAAGUCGCAACAUUUUUCGCGCAAAAUUCGCGCACUAUGGGGUUGCUAGGAAUUGAACCCCCCGGCCUCACCCGCGCACGUACCCUCUUCUACCACUCCGCCUAUAGCAUGCUUUAUGUCUAGUUUGUAAUUUUGUUGUCCACAUAUUACAACCAACUGAGUGUAAAUUGCUUGUUCGAGACCUUAAAACGAAUUCAAAUAAAAAUGUUGUCAAUUACAAAGUUGAAUAACUUUUGAAGUUCUACAACUAUCAUUUUGACACUUUUUUCAUUGAGGAAGUUUGCAAAAUUUGAAUUUUAAAUUUGAUAAAUUUAGAUGCAAUUUUUGAGAGCCUAAAUGAUUUCAAAAAUGAAAAGGUUGUCAACUACAAAGUUCUAUAACCUUAGAGAUCUACAACUUUUAUUUUGGUGGUUUCAUCAUACGAGGUCGUUUGAAAAACUCAAAAAAUUAAGGAUAAAAAUAAUUUUUAGUGACAGUUUUUUAAAAAAUCGCCACUAGAAAUCGAUUUGUACAAGCGGUUCCUUAAGAAAAUGGUCACUAGAAAUCAUGGAUUUCUACAGGCAGUUUUUUUAAUGAACUGCCUGUAGAAAUACGAUUUCUAGUGGCGGUUUUCUUAAGGAACCGGCACAAAAAAUAGCACAGACGGUUAAUAACUGAAUCCGCCUGUAAAAUAUACCGCACCGCAGGUUGUGAGCAUUUUUUCUACCGGUGAUGAUCAGGUAUGGCAAAGUUGUGUCCUAGAUACUUCCACUUCUUGGGGCGUCGACGUCGGCUCGUCGGCGUAGUCAAAAUCGGCACAGGUCAGGAGCAACUCAUCACCAAGAAAAACACAGAUUUAGGGGAUGGAAUCGAAGACGGAUCGCGUGCCAAGUCGGAGAAAAACCACGAUAUUCGUCGAGUCAGGUUCACCAACACCCCCACGGCCACGACGACGACACGGAGGAAGAGGCCCAAGUAGUCACCCCGCGUGGUGCGGUAGGAUCGGGUGCAGGGACGCUGAAGAGCUCGACGACACAGAUCCCACGCAUCUGCCGCCACCUGUCACUGUACGACAUGUAGGUGACGCCGUCCACGCCACGGGUCAAGAAUCGCAGCGCCGGUGCGGCGGGACACAACACGAAGGCGGCGUCAUGGGUGAUGGUGACCUCGCGCAUGGCGGAUAAGGACUAGGCCACCACCACGGGGACAUUUCGCAAGUGGGGGGCAUCAGGGGGUUGUAGGUCAACAAGAGGUCACACAAGAGGCACUGCGGGGCAUGUCCCAGGUGAGGUGUUGCAGGUGGCCGAUGGCUAGCAUCGCCCAUGGCCCUGGAUCUGACUCCUAGCAUCGUCCCUCCCAUGCGCACGAUGACGAGCAAGUAACAUUAGCUUCAUAUUUGUAAUUAGUCCAUGUCAAGGGGCUCGGUUAGAGCCAUAACUCCACAACCCUAAGCUGCACAUUGAAAAGUAGCUCCCUUUUCUAUUUUCGUCAGUUCAGCUUUCCCUAAGCUGCUUAUUGAAAAGUGUCUGUGUUACACCUACGUACGCAGACUAGCGCUCUAUCCUGCAGGAAACCAAUCAAGCAUGCAAGCGCGGUCAAUGUGGCCUGCGUCCAGCGGCUCUGGGCGCGACUAGUGCUGGGAAUUGGGCGGGUCGGGCCAGUCCGGCCCAAGCCCAUCGUGCUUCGUGCCAAACAGGUUCAGGCCAAGAAAGCCCAAAAUACUUUUGGGUCGUGCAGUGCCAGCCCAAAGUGUAAAAACAGUGGUCCAGCCCAGCCCUAAACCACGUCGUGGCUUUGUUGGGCCGUGCCGGCCCAAGCCUGGCCCGUAUAUUUGACCACAUAAAAUCAAAAUAUUACAACUAUAUAAAGUUCAUAGCUUACUAAAUUAAAGAUAUUAAACAAUUCUAGCAUCAUUUAACCACAUAAACUCUAAAUAUAACAACAAUAUAAAGUCGACAUCUUACUAAAUUAAACAAAUUAAACAGAUUAGGCUUAAUUGAACCGUGCCGGCCUAAGCCCGGCCCAUCUAUGCGGGCCGUGUCGGGGGCCCGGCGAGCUGGAAAUUGAGGCCCGACCCAAACCCGUCUUCGAACCGUGCUAGCCCGGCCCAUAUUAUUUCGUGUCGGGCCGUGCUUUUGGUUCCUAUUUUCGGACCGUGCUGGUGCUGACCCGAAAAGCCGGCCCAUAUUACCAGCACUAGGCGCGACAACCAAUCACACCUAUAGUCUGCUUGACCAUGCAACACACUCAUUUCCUUUGUUCUUCAAGAAUCCCUUUUAUUUGUUCUUUUAUCUAUAAAUAUAAUAGUAUAAUGGUAUAACUCUCUACUAUUUCGUUUUAUUUCGUUUUUCAUGUGUUUUUACUUUUAGUUUCUUUAUUUUUUUUCUUCCGUCGUCUUUUGUUUUAAAAAUUCUCUUUUCAUUCAAUUUUGUUUUACUCUGUUUAUCAUUACAACUUCAUACAUCGUCUAGUUAAGGUCCUGCUUUACCCUUCACUUAUCUACCACUUUUGUUUUGCCAAAUGUGUUCCUGCUACAUUUGAUUGACUAACCUGGAGGCCAAGUUAAAUGCACGCUCAGAAAAGAACAAUUGUUGCUUGCAUUUCAAAAAUAGAUGGAACACCAUGAGAUACAAUAACCUAACAUGGAAGACAGUAGAUUUAAAUGCAAUUUGCCUAGAGAGGGAUCCUACAAUGUUUGUGUUAUUGCUGGCACUACCGGAAUUUGGCUCUUUGGCGAGUACCAAAUACUUUGCCGAGUGUUUUUUGGCACUCGACAAAGAAGCUCUUUGCCGAGUGCCACACAAAAAAACCUCGGUAAAAGAAAACACUCGGCGAAGAAGCUCUUUGCCGAGUGUUUUUUUCAACACUAGGCAAAGACAAUUUUAAAAUCACAUUUUAAAGCAGUAAAUUAAUUCAAAUAAAAAGUUUUCAACUACAAAUUUGUAUAACUCAUCAUGAUGUACAAUUUAUAUUUUGAACAUUUCUUCAUAUAACAAAAUAAAAAUAAAUUUGUUCAUAAAACCUAUCUCUCUCUCGUAGUUUAUGAAAACUACGAGAGAGAUGUAUAAGAUUUGUGCAUAUUGUUAGAACCAUCAUGUGAAAUGAACAAAUGACCAAACAACCAAAAUAAACUUUGUAGAUCUUGAGAAGUUAUAGAGUUUUGUAGUUGGCAACUUUUUCAUUUGAAGUCAUUUUGUCAACGAAGAAUGUCUGGAUUUUAAAAAAAAUAAAAUUUGAAUUUUGAAUACGACCUCGAAAGAAAAAAUCACCAACAUGAAAGUUGUAGGUAUUGAAGAGUUAUGAAACUUUGUAGUUGACAAUGAUUUGGUUUGAAAUCAUCUUGUCAUGCAAAACUAUGUUUAAAUUUUAAAAUUUGAAUUUUUCAAACUAUAUCGGAUGGAAAAAAACACCAAAAUAAAAGUUGUAGGUCUUGAAAUGUAAUGAAACUUUGUAAUUGAUAUUUUUUUAUUUAAAAUUAUAUUAUAAUUGAAAAAUUAGUGUGAAGUUUUCAAAUUUGAAAUUCAAAUUUUGUAAACGGCCUCGGAUGUAGAAACUAUCAAAAUAGAACUUGUAGGUCUCAAAAAGUUAUGCAAUUUAUAGUUGGUCAUAUUUUGAAAUGAAUUCAUUUAGUACCUUAAAUAAUCAAAUUACUCUCGGUUUGUUAUAGUACAUGAGAAAUAAAAAUGAAAUAUAGACAUAAUUGAUGUAGUAGUGUAGUGGUAGAGGAGGGUGUGGGGGACAGAUAUCCCCGGGCCCACUAGAAGGCAAGAAGGCCUCGUGAAAGGCUUUGGGCCUAUUAUCUCGCAAGGCCAUCCAUUCGUGGGCCAGGGGAGAACCGCUGAUGGAAGGGGCCGACACAAUGAAGAAAUAGACUAGGGCCCAAGCGGCUCAUUGGAUUUAAGCGCUAUCCACAGCGUCGAUCUGAUUUUCCCGCGCAGCAUCCUUGGAUGUCGGAGCAAACUAGGGAUAGGUCGACAAAACUAUAGGAGGAUAAGUUCAGUCGGUUCACUAUUACUUAGGUACACAUCGUCAUCACACACACAUGUAAUGCCCCACGGUCCAAGUAUAUAAGGUCUAGGGGGUACCCCAUCAGAUUCAUCGAUCAUCUACUCAACCCACUAGCUUUUCUGCACAUAGGAGACUUCUCUUAUAACCCACCACAUAAAGAUCCACACCAGGAAGUAGGGUAUUGCGCAUCUCAAAGCAGCCCGAACCUGCAGAAAAUUGCCUGUCAUCUCUCAUGCAUCCCGCACGAACCAUUGAGUUAUAGUCAACAGCACCGUCCUACCCAAAAGCACCGCGAGAGGUAACCCCGGGUGUGCGGUCUGGCUCCAAACACCGACAGCUGACGCGUCAGGUAGGGGGUGUGUCGUUGAUCCAAACUAGCUCAAUGGCUGUCACUUCCUAGUGCGAGAUCGCUCUCCACCCUGGAUCCGUGUUCUGCUUCGGGACCAUCUCAUCCGUAGCAGAUGGGGAGGGAAUUCUGCACCGCAUAGCGGAUCCACCGGAGAAAAAGCUUUCCUCGAAAAUCUCCGGGAAAGCCAGAACAAGGCAGCAGACAGCGCAACCUCCUACGCCCCAGGCGAAGACUACCUUCUGCAAGUCAAGAGUCGGAAAUUCACUUACCCGAAGAACCUCGUUGUCCACUUCGUCCACAAAGGAGUGGACACGGAUUACAAGAAAGAAAGAAGCAAGCGGGAUGGAGACCCAUCAAGUUAUCCUUCCGACACCUUCGCCUUCAAAGAAGGAUGGAAAGGAAUUCAUCAUCGCAGCAACUCCUUUCUACCCCAACGUCCUCUUCAUCAGGGGGAGAUUGGAGUCAUCUCCCAUCUCCGAUGACGAGCCAACCGUGCUAGGAGAAGAACCUCCCCAGCGAGAAGCUCGACGACGGAGAAACAGACACCGGAAUAUUCAACGACAUCACGAAGCUGGGGAGUGGGACCCAGCGCAGCCCGUAUCUCGGGAUGAAGUCUCAGAAAUAGGAGAAACUCCUGAUGAACGAGUCUUCAGAGAAAGGAGGAAUUCUCGCCGACGCGACCGCCGGCAAGCUCAAGACCGAGAUCGAGAACAAGCUGAGCAGGAUGCGAGGUUACGCCGAGAGAACCCUCUCUUCGCUCGAAACCUGAACCCUGACUUUACUCGUGCAAUGAACACGUCGAGUGAAGUCGGAGGAGUGUUGGCUCGGAUAGCUGAUGGCCUCCCCUGGACUCUGGAUGCUGAAGGUUAUAGGCGGCUGCUCACUCGAGUGGCUAAUCACCUUUUGCCCCUCGCCCAUCCCCCGGGUGACCUACGACACGCCAUCAACAGUCGGCGAGACGCACGAAGCUCCAUCAAAGUUCGUGCGAACGACGACACGAAAACGAGAUAAGGCGUCGGGAGGAGUACGAUCGGGACCAUGGUGUCCCGGCUUGAAGUCGCACCACCCGAGUUGAGUCGGCGGCAGCCUCAACUACUGGCCUGACCCGGGGACGAUCGAGACGGCACAUCAGCGACUCUCCUCCCCGGGACCGGCACCAUGAACGUCGACAGGAGGACACAUGUGGAGUAUCGGCGCUUACUCUGCGUCUCAGGGCCAUCCAGUUGCCCAUGAAUUUCAAGGUCUCCAACGUCGACAAGUAUGAGCCUAAGCAGGACCCAGGAGGCUGGUUGGCCAUCUAUACAACCACUGCUCGGGCCGCUAGGGCAACUAAAGACGUGAUGACUACGUACUUGCCCAUCGUUCUUGGGCAUGAUGCACUGCAGUGGCUACGACACCUGCCACGACACUGCAUCGACGAUUGGAGCGACUUCAGUCGGCGUUUCAUCGCCAACUUUCAGUCCCUCUCUGACAAGCCAGCGCAGCCAUGGGACCUCAAAUCCAUCAGGUGUCGGGGGGAUGAGACACUUUGGUCGUACCUCAAGAGGUUUCAGACCAUGAGAAAUCGUAUCCUCGAGGUCACUAAGGCGGCGGUGAUUGAGGACUUCUACCGGAGAUCUAAUGACUCGGCCUUCGUCCGAGCCAUACUACAGAAAGCACCGACCACCUCCAAACAAUUGUUUCGAGAAGCGGACCUCUACAUCACCACCGACGAACAGGCUCAGGACCUCAUCUGGGGAACGAAACCCGCGCCACCAGCACCACGGUGCGACGCAAACCAGCAACCCAACAAGCGUUGGGAGAAGAGGCCCCAUGAAGAGGUCCACGCCGCCUGACCACCCGUCUCUCGUGCUCGAGGGGCACCCCAUGGAGGCGAGCGGACACUGGACGAUAUCCUCGACGCCCAGUGCCCGUACCACAAGGAUAUGCGCCACACCCUGUGAAACUGCAGAGACUUCAAGCAUUCCAUCGGGAAUGGACGACCAUUCCAGCCUCUACCACCUCCCCCACCAUGAGGAGGGCCUGGUGAGGCCAGGCAGCCUCGACAACAGGAAUGGGGAGGAGACGGAGCAUUCCCGCGCGUCGACGGAGAGGUCAACAUCAUCUUCGGAGGACACAGGUCGCAGGAAAACAGAAGGCAGCAAAACCUCAACGACCGACAGGUGCUGGUGGUGACCACCAGUACCCCAGCUCCCUACCGGUGGUCGGAAUUCCCGAUCACCUUCAGCCUAGUGGAUCAAUGGCUCAACUUCGACCAUCCGGGAAAGUACCCGCUCCUCGUCGAUCUAGUGAUUCGAGAGAGCAGGGUAAAGAAAGUACUAGUGGAUGGGGAAGCAGCAUCAACGUUACCUUCCCCCGGACGCUCCUGGGCUUGGGGUCGUACUCAAAGACCUCACCGAGUCAGACACCCCUUUCUUCGGCAUUGUGCCAACCGAAGGGGAGUACCCGCUCGGGCAUAUCUACAUGCCCGUUACCUUUGGAACUCUGGAAAACUACAGAACCGAGUUCCUGAGGUUUGAAGUGGUGAGUUUUGAUUGCGGAUACAACGCCAUCAUCAGCAGGCCAGGGUUGGCAAAAUUCAUGGCUAUCAUGCACUAUUCUUACAUGAUAUUGAAGAUUCCAGGACCACAAGGAAUCAUUACCGUGCGCGCUGACUUCCAAGGCACUGCAGAAUGCUUUCAAGGAGCCAUUCAGGCGGCCCUCAUAACUAGACCACCGAUAACUUCCUCCACGCAGGCGAACACAAAGCCUGAGGGAGACUUCGCGAUAGCUACGAAUGAAGCUCAAGCCGUAACCUCUAUGCAACCGAUUGAAGAGACGAAAAUGAUCAACCUGGGGUUCGCUGAUGAACGCAAGACCGACAUCAUCAGUUCCAGCCUCGACAACAAAUAGGAAAGCGCGCUCGUCCGGUUCCAGCAAGAUAACCGGGACGUAUUCGUGUGGCAACCUGCGGAUAUGCCGAGAGUCCCGAGAGAACUGGCCAAGCACAAAUUGAAGGUCUAUCAUCAAGCAAAACCGAUUUGACAGAAGCUGUGUCAUUUCACACCUGAUAAGAGAGAAGCUAUUUGCAUCGAGUUAGCCUGCUUAGUGGCAGCAGGGUUCAUUAGAGAAGUGUUGCAUCCUAAGUGGCUGGCAAAUCCUGUUAUUGUACUAAAAAAGAAUAAAGUGGAUUGGCACAUGUGCGUCGAUUAUACUGAUCUCAACAAACAUUGUUCGAAGGACCCCUUUGGGCUCCCUAGAAUAGAUCAGGUGGUCGAUUCGACUGCCGGGUGCUCUAUGUUAUCCUUCCUAGGCUGCUAUUUUGGAUACCAUCAUAUCAGCUUGGCAAAAGAAGAUGAAGAGAAGACAACAUUCAUUACCCCGUCUGGAGCCUUCUGCUAUACCUCCAUGUCGUUCGGCCUCAAGAACGAGGGAGCGACCUACCAGAGAGCUAUUCAAACAUGCUUAGCCGAUCACUGGGGCAAGCGGGUGGAAGCUUAUGUUGAUGAUGUGGUGAUCAAAAUAGAGAACUCAGAGAACUUCAUCGAAGAUUUGCAGCUGGUCUUCAACAGCCUGAGGCGAUACCGGUGGAAGCUCAAUCCAGAGAAGUGUGUCUUCGGAGUACCGGCAGGAAAGUUACUCGGAUUCAUCGUCAGCCAUCGGGGAAUCGAAGCAAACCUAGAGAAAAUCGAAGCCAUCAUGAGAAUGGAAGCGCCGCGAUCACAGAAAAAGGUACAGAGGCUUACUGGAUGCAUGGCAGCCCUGAGUAGAUUCAUAACAAGGCUAGGCGAGAAAGGCGUGCCAUUCUACAAGUUGCUCAAAAAGGUGGACAAGUUUCAGUGGACCAUAGAGGCACAAGAAGCUCUAGAGGCGCUGAAAAAGUUCCUGACCACACCACCAGUGCUCAAGCCACCACGCCGAACCACACCAAAUCAGCCAGCAGAAGAUCUGUUACUAUACAUUUCCUGCACGACUCACGUGGUAAGCAUAGCGUUAGUAGUCGAGCGGGUGGGAGAAGGACAUGCGCACCUGAUACAACAUCCAGUCUACUUCAUCAGUGAAGUCCUCGGGCCCUCAAAAAUAAGAUAUCCUCAAAUCCAUAAGUUGCUAUAUGCGGUACUUCUAACCGCACGCAAACUCCGACACUACUUUGACGACCACAAAGUCAUAGUAGUCACAUGAUUUCCAAUAGGGGACAUCCUCCACAACAAAGAAGCCAUCGGAAGGAUAGCCAAGUGGGCGUGCGACUUGGGAGCUCAUGACAUAGAGUUUCGACCUCGCACGACAAUCAAGACUCAAGCGCCGGUCGACUUCAUAUUUGAGUGGACUGAACAUCAGGUCCCAGACAACCCAGAGGCUACCGAAGUAUGGAGAAUGUACUUUGACGGCUCGCUGAAGCUACAGGGAGCAGGUGCAGGGAUCCUCUUCAUUGCCCCUAGAGGUGAACAACUCAAGUACGCACUCCAAUUAUUGUUUCCAGCAUCAAAUAAUGCAGUAGAGUAUGAAGCACUGAUCCACGGGUUGAACAUCGCUGUAUCACUCGGUAUCAAAAAAUUGAUGGUAUAUGGAGAUUCUCUAGUGGUCAUAAGCCAGAUAAAUAAAGAUUGGGAUUGCUCGACUAAUUCUAUGGGCAAGUACUGUGCAGCCGUCCGAAAAUUAGAAGAUAGGUUUGAAGGGUUAGAGUUUCAUCACGUGGGGAGAGACCGCAACGCGGCAGCAGACGCGUUGUCAAAAAAGCUGAGAUCCAGUCGGGCUCAGGUCCCACCCAGGAUCUUCGUCCAAGAAGUAUCAUGCCCGAGUAUUCUCUUAGACCGGGCAGAAGAGUGCAACAUCUUGAGCCAACAAGAGUCAAACCCCAACGACUUGAGAGAGCCUAUCAUCAGAUACAUAAAAAAUGAAGAAGAACUAGAUGACAAGUCGGCCGCAGAACGCAUCACAAGACAGUCGGCCCACUACACCCUCAUAGGGGGGACACUGUACAGAAGGGGUGCGACAGGAGUCCUCAUGAAAUGCAUUCACUCGGCUAUUGGGAAACAACUGUUAGAAGAAAUCCACGCUGGGCAAUGCGGGGUACAUGCCGCAUCCAGAACCCUGGUUGGGAAAGCUUUCAGAUCUAUUUUCUAUUGGCCAACAACGAAGAGUGACGCUGCCGAGUUAGUCCAGAGAUGUGAAGCCUGCCAAUUCCUAUCAAAGCAACAACAUUUACCCACACAGCAGCUACAUACCAUUCCUAUAACCUGGCCUUUUGCAUGCUGGGGGCUAGACAUGAUUGGACCUUUCAAAAAAGCUCAAGGAGGCUAUACUCACAUACUGGUUGCCAUUGACAAAUUCACAAAGUGGAUAGAGUACAAGCCAAUCGCUUCCCUGACCUCAGCCAAAGCAGUGGAGUUUAUACAAGAUAUAAUAUUCAGAUUCGGGAUACCAAAUAGCAUCAUCACUGACCUAGGAUCCAAUUUCACUAGUUCUGAAUUCUUUGAUUUCUGCGAGCAAUAGAGCAUCCAAAUCAAGUAUGCGUCGGUAGCACACCUAAGAGUCAAUGGCUAAGUGGAAAGGGCCAAUGGAAUGAUACUGGAGGCACUCAGGAAGAAAAUAUUUGACAAAAAUGAAAAGCUCGCAGAAAAAUGGAUCAAAGAGUUGCCAUAUGUGGUUUGGAGCCUGAGAACUCAACCCAGUCGAGCUCUGCAUGGAAAUACCCCAUUCUUCAUGGUUUAUGGGUCGAAAGUAGUGUUGUCCGCCGACUUAAUAUUCGGGCACCAAGGCUGACUUUCGAAAGCAUAGCCGAGGCGGAGGCCACCAGACUAGAAGACAUCGAUGUGCUAGACGAAGAAUGAUUGGGCACAGUAAUUCAGUCGGCUAGAUACCAGCAGACCCUGAGGCGCUAUCAUGAUAAAGCUGUGAGACACCGGUCCUUUGCAGUGGGAGACUUGGUCCUUCACCGAAUUCUAACGGGGGAAGGAUGGCACAAGUUAUCACCACUAUGGGAAGGACCAUUCACCGUAUCAGAGGUCACUCGGCCAGGCUCAUACGAGCUUACUCAAACGGAUGGCACGGAAGUGGGGAAUUCGUGGAACAUAGAGCAUCUUAGAAAGUUUUAUCCUUAGCAAGGCCUCAAAAGCUCUCGAAGGAACGUUGUACUCUGUAAUCGGGGGACUUCAUCAUCAAUAAAGUUUUCAUUUCCAAAGGAAUUCAGACUCUUAACUUCCAGCUGACCUUGAUUUGAUUGGAUUUGAAAUCAGCACGCUUACUUGAAUGAGGGUGACCACUAUACCCUACUGACGGAGCAAUCGGCUUAAGUCGGCGAUGACUUAAGACGGUGCAACAUGCUCACGCUACCUCGGCUUAGAGUGACCACUAUACCCUACUGACGGAGCAAUCAGCUUAAGUCGGCGAUGACUUAAGACGGUGCAACAUACUCACGCUUACUUGACUCGGGGUGACCACUAUACCCUACUAACAGAGCAAUCGGCUUAAGUCGGCGAUGACUUAAGUCGGUGCAACAUGCUCACGCUUACUUGACUCGGGGUGACCACUAUACCCUACUAACAGAACAAUCGACUUAAGUCAGCGAUGACUUAAGUCGGUGCAACAUGCUCACGCUAACUCAGCUUAGGGUGACCACUAUACCCUACUAACGGAACAACGGCUUAAGUCAGCGAUGACUUAAGUCGGUGCAGUAUGUUCACAACCACUUAUCUUGGGGCGACCACUGCGCCCUACCGGUCAGAUGAUCGGUUUAAGUCAAAAAACGCCUUAAAACUAGCACGACACUAUUACUUUCAUAACUGUUCAGGGUGAUUGCUAUACCCUAACGACAAAAAAAUUAGCACUCCAGGAAGAAAAAGAACGUUUUACUUGUUGGCAUCAGGGGCACUUUUCGGCGCCCUGCUCACAAAAUAUUCGAGUUCUAACAUAACCAUCACAUACACAUAGAAUUCAUAUUACAUCAAGUGUUUUGCAGGACAUCACUUCAUCGAGACAUCUUUGUUAGCAAUGUCUUUCAAAGGAGCGGUAGAAGAGAAAGGACGACUCGAAGCAUCGGGUGCAGCCUUGACAUCAGCGACAAUAUCGUCAGGCACCAUGACGUCGGGCCUCCUCAUCAGGAUCUGCCCAGCGCGAAUGGCUUUGUCCAUAGCCUUGUUGCGGUGAGCCUUCAAAACGGCGCAGUUGUCCUCUGAAGCUUUGACAGCCAGUCGAGCAGCCUCUAGCUCUUGUGCGACAAGUUUCUUUGAAGCACGCAGAUCUCUAAUGGUCGAAUCCAUGGUUGAUAACAGCUAUCCAAGCCACAGAACUUCAUCUUGUGAUAUUUGUAGCUCGUGACGAUGAUGAUCCAGGUCCGACAUGGUGAAGCGGUGGCUCCUUUCCAAAAUAUUCAAGGAAUUGCUAGCGUCACGGUAUAACCUGUCUAGAUUAUCACGAGAGGCCGCGAGUGCUCGUUUCUCCUCCUACAAACAAGAAGCAACAUUCAGCACCCAGUCUACAAUAAGCGUGACGAAGUCAACCAAGGGAAUUUACAUCGUGUGCCAUCCUUUCAGAGUCAAGCUGAGCACUGAGGGAAGAAUUCAAAGAACGCGCGCCAUCCAAAGAAGCAGAAAUUUGGGCCAAGUCACCUGACUCUGAGAAUACUUCUCCUCAAGGUUAGAGCACCGUUGGGUUGAGUCGGCCUGGCUUCAAAGAUACUUUUCCUCAAGAUCAGAGCACCGCUAGGCCAUAUCCGACAAUGCAGCUGAAAAGUGAUGUGUGACUCAGAACAAGUUGAUUAAUAAAAACAACUAAGGAAGCUAUAAGGUCACCGACCAGCGUUCGAUGCCUUCAAGUCAGCAAUAUGUUUCUAAAGCAGCAAUGGGUUCCACUGCAUUAGAGACAGAGCUUCUUCUAGAACAGUGGCACCGCACGACCUCAGCUGGGUAGACAUUCCAUCAACCAAAGCCUGUAAUCAUAGACAGAUGUGCAGAAGAAAGAUAAUUCACUAAUAUGAACAAUGAAAGGCAAGAGGUUGACUCACCUGAAGAUUGGAGAGGAACAGUGGCAGACCCAAGGCAGGAGGAGCCGUGUCAUGGCUCGACGAGGGAAAAUCAACAAGAACAAUCUAAAGGGCAUUGUCAGGGGUGAUCUCAGCCCCGCCAACAGACAACAGGCUUCUCACAUCUAGCUCGCCGACCUCUAAGGUGCCUUGUUCAUUCAAGACUGUGGAAGCAUGCACCGUCGCCGCCCCAUCGGACCGAGGUGGGGACGACCCAACAUGGACAUCCAUGGAGGUGUGGGAGGAAGAGCCCACUCGAACACCCUCGGGGGCUGGGUUGCAACUUGCGCUACCCACCAGAGCCAGAUCACUACCGGCACCACCCUCGGGGGCUGGGUAACUGCCAGCACCACCCUCGGGGGCUGGGUCUUCUGCAGUAGCCACCUCUAAGGCUGAGGGCUCCUCCAUCACCUCCAUGGGAGUCGGUUGACUCGGACCAGCGUCUUGGCAUUGAAGGCUGUCCUCCAAAGUCGACGAUGCGUGAGACACCGCUUGGGUUACCUCCUGCCUAGCAAAGUCAAGCAAGGAAAGCCCACCGUCCGGGACCUCUGAACAGACGACCAGGAUAUCAUCGGCAGUGGGCUUUGACAGCAUAUCUUCGGGGACGACUUCCUCUAGUACUUGAUCAAAGUCGGAUAUUGAAAGUCCCUAAAGACUGACAAGAGCCGACAGAGCUGGAGUAGGGAUGUCGCUGCUCCCCUCACUUCCUCUAUAAUGCCGACUGUUCUUACGGAUCAGCAGGACUUCUUCCUCUUCAUCAUCAUCAAGCAUACAUCCAACAAUCUGUGCACCCUUGGCGUCAGCUUCUGGAACGGCCUCUGUUGGGACAUCAUCAGGAACUGGCACAGAAGGGCCAGCAUCCUGACCCAAGCACAAUAGUCGCCGGAGCCGCCUUUUCUUCUUCUUCUCCUCGAUAGGUGCAAUUGAGCAUCUCGCUCGGCGCGCACGCUUUGGGUGAGCACCCUCAGGUUUCCAAUUUUCCACCUCUUCACCAAACUCCUCCCCAGUUGUGAUAGCCAUUGGCUCGGUGCGGGUAGAGUUGGAUGAUUCCCCCACCAGCAGGCUAAGCACAACAUCUAUCUCAGCGUCAUCAGUGCUAGCUGGCAUCUCGAAGUGAGUCUGCCUCUCAUCUUCGGGAAUGUUCUGAAUUGAAGUAAUCGAGGCUUCGAUAUCUGCUGGAGAGGGUCGCACUCUAAGACCCAGGCUACCAUCACGAGCAGGAGGAUUGGACACAAACUCAGAAAAUGACCUGCUUGGUGGCAAGUUCCAAGCAGAAUAGGCCACAGGAACACCGACAUUUGAAAUUCUACCUCUCAAGAUCAUGUCCAGUUAGCUCAUCAGAUCUUCAGUGGGAAUCUUCUUGUUCGUGACCUAGGUAGAAUCAUUGACACCACUGUACAAAUAAGCAGGGUACGCCCUAUCCUUCAAGGGUUUGAUGUUCUUGAAAAUAAAAUCAGCAACCACGACCUCAGCAGUCAGACCUCUGUCCUUCAGCAAGCAGACCUCAGCAAGCAGUACCUUAGCCUCUGUUAUCUCCAAAGGAGUCGGAGAUUCUAUCUAGCUUGAUGUGCGGACAUCUGGUUGUCUCCCUGACCGAGGGGGGAGAGACAUGCAAUGGUUCUCCACAAUGAACCACUCAAGGCGCCACCCUUUGAUGCUAUCCUUGAGGGGAAUGUGGAGAUACUCUUCCUUUCUCCCAUGACGAAGCUCCAGACUCGCACCACCAACGAGCUGGUGCUGUCCCCCAGCCAUCUUGGGCUGACAGUGAUACAGGUAUUUCUAGAGACCGAAAUGGGGGAGAAUCCCGAGAAAGGUCUCACACAGAUGUACAAAAAUGGAAACUUGCAAGAUGGAAUUUGGGUUCAGAUGGGACAAGUUCAGUUUGUAGAAGUCAAGGAGGCCGCGGAAAAAGGGGAGACGAGAAGAGCAAGCCCGCGGAUAAGAAAUGGGACGUAGAUGGCGACUUCAUGGGUGUCCUCUGUCAAAACAGUGACCUCGCGGCAAAUUCGCCCAGAGCAUAGCUCUUUCGGAAGUAAAACCCCAACAUCGACAAGGUGAAGAAGAUAAGAUUCUGAGAUAACAGACAUGUGGUUACCCGCGAAUGGCAACUGGCUGUUGGGGUCGAUGGGCGGGAUGCUUGCCGUGACAGAGCUUUGCCUCUUUCGCUUCGGCGCCAUUGCAAUCUGGCCAGCGGAACGAAUAGAAGCAGGAUCUUGGGGAAGCAGAGGAGUGGUUCGAGGCGGAAUUGUGAAGUUAGGGCUCAGAAAUUAUAAACGCAUGUAGGUGCAAGUAUAAAUGGGGUUUUCUGGGUUGAGCACUACUUCUAAAAAGCGCCAAGUCAUUACUUGGGAAAGCAGAACUUUAGGCAUGACUCGCGUUACAUCUAAAACGCCGGUAUCAUCAGCUAUAACUCGACGGUUACCUCUAAAAUGCCAGCAGCAUCAAGCAUGACUCGGCGUUACCUCUAAAACGCUGGUAUCAUCGGCUAUCGCUCGGUGGUUACCUCUAAAAACGUCGGCAGCGUUAUAUGCAUGGAUGAACUACCAAGUGUGCAUGCAGAAAAAGCAGCAAGAGCACAAUGUUCACUGGAAGCAUCAGAAGUUUUUCAUUUAUAUUAAAGGGGGGUUACACAAACUCAAAGACUAACUCAUUAUGAGCCGGCCUUUUUACCCCUACCUUCUACUACAUUACAUUACCCUACAUUACAUUACUACAAUACUUACACUACACUAUACUACUAACUACUACUACUUUAUUCUAAUACUACUAACUACUACUACUACUUUAUUCUAAUACUACUACUACUACUACUAAUUAUCUAUACUAAUAUUUAAGCCAGUGGCGCCUUGCCACUGGCCUUGCCAUCGCCGCUUCUGCCCUUGCUGCCGUCGCCGCUCCUGCCGUCGCCGCCUCCUCCACUGCCGCCCUUGCCGCCGUCGCCGCCACCACCUCCACCGCUGUCGUCGCCACUACCGUCGCCUUUGUCGUUGCUGUCACCGCCGCUCCCUUCCUCGGACGAGUCGGAGGAGUUCUCCUCGUCCGAGGAGACCUCCGACUCAUUCGAGCCUUCGAGCCCGGCGCGCUCGACGGACCGGAUGUACGUCCACACCUCAGCGGCUAUCCCCUGGGAGUCGUCUGAGUCAUCGGACGACGUCGGGGGGGAGCGUACUUCGGGGACCCCUCGGACUCGGAGGAAACCUCCUCCUCCGAGUACUCGGAGUCACCAAAGUCCUCCGAGGGAGGACUCGGCUCGUGCUUCCGCUUGUCGUCAUAGCGACGUGGCGAACCCCGACCCUUUUUGUCCUUGCCCAUGGUUAGAUGGAGAAGGAGUUAGAAAAGAAGCAACAGAUGAUCGAAGGGUAAGUGAAGAGAACAACGGUGCAAGCAUGCUAUUUAUAAAGACCGGGAGUGACCGUCCACUUUCUACCACGCCCGCCGAACAGUCGCAAGUAUUCAAUAAGCAAUUCAAGCCGCUUGAAAAUGAGUCAGGCAACAGACGUCGCUUCGCGUAACACGACACUGUUUGGACCAAGGUCAACUGCUCGGAUGGCAUGAUUACACCCCACGGUCACAUCAAGUUACUACUCCAGGACAGUGUGCUAAACGCUUUAUGUACAAAGACGCCCCUUGGUCACACCCAUUGGGGGGACGGCCAGGAAUUUUCAUUAGAUUUUCUGAAGAAGUCAUAUCCAUACAGUAUACGCAAUGAAUAUACUAAGACAGAAGGAAGAGACUAGCAGAGAUCAAAGAAAAUCCAAAUAUAGCUACUGAGCUGCAAGCCUAAUCAGCAGAGGCAUUGAAGCGCAGAGCGGAGUGAAGACCAGCCAAGAGCCAUCUAGCAAACGUCCAAUCUAUCACUGAUCGAAUAAAUUACAGACCUAACAAGGAGUGGGCAGACGAUGUUGUUUGAAUUCGCAAGAACAUGAGAUGAAGACAAAAUGCUCAUUUUUCUAAAGCACAAGAUGAAGAUCUUUGAGUGGAUUAUUUUCAAAAAUCCACUCAAAGCUCGGGGGCUACACCCAUUAGGCACACCUCCGAUGCGUCCAAUAGAUUUUUAAUCCCAGGAGAAAGGAUGUUGAUCUCUAAAGCACGGAGUGAAAGUCUUCGAGUGGUUUGUUUUCAAAAAACCUACUCAGAGUUCCAGAUGCUAAUUUCUAAAGCACAAGCUGAUGACAGAAUGCUGGUUUCUAAAGCACGAAGUAAAAACCUUUGAGUGGUUUGUUUUAAAAAAACCUACUCAAAGUUCCAAAUGGCAAUUUCCAAAGCAUGGCACAAUGACAAGACACUGAUCUCCACAAUGUUGAAUGAGGGCUCUUGAGAAGACUGUUUUUACUGAAAUCACUUAAAGUUUAUGAGUAAAUGCUCAGUAGGUGCACCUUCGGUGCACCCAUCGCCAGAAUGGAAGUCAAGCCACAGAUUCGCAAGUGGGACUUAGAAUCUUUGGGCUGAUUAUUUCAAAAUCAAUCAAAGAUUGGGGGCUUGUGGGGGACAGAUAUCCCCCGGGUCCACUAGAAGGCAAGAAGGCCUCGCGAAAGGCUUUGUGAAGCGUCCCCAAUCCUCUGGGACUCAAAUGUGACACAAUUACUAGUCCCAGGAGACUAGUAAACACAUUUAUACAUCAGACGAUUCCAGAUCUGCUUAAACAAGAUAAACCUAUAAAGGUGGCGAUCAACUUUAAGAGUUGGUCCACAACUCGGGACAUAACAUCAGAGUGGGGCUGAAGCAGCCCGAUAUACGCAGCGAAGCAAAUCAGCGGUCCAACAGCCACAGGCAAGGUUGGGAACAGUCGUAACUCUUACCCGAUCUCCUUUUUCUGAAAAACAACAAAUAAGCAAGGGUGAGUACAAACGUACUCAGCAGCCCACCUUCACCCGCGGAAUAGGGAAAUCAGAUAUAAUGCAUGGAAUAUGUAGAGCUCAGGAUAUUUGCAGAAACAACAAUAUUUUAUGCAGGGUUGUUUUGAAAAACAUUUUGUAUUUUGCAAAGCGCAUCCUCUCCAAAAGGAGCAGGAAGUUUUUCAAUAUUAGAACAAAAUCCCCUGGACUAAACCAUCCAGGUAUCUCAGCAGUUUCCCACUGGUUUUCAUUUUCAACAAUAGCUACUGGACUUCCCGUCCACCAUAGCUACGGCUCAACCGCCGGUCCUUAUAAAAACCACUUUUCUCAAAACCAUCUAUUUUUUUUUGAAAAACAAAACAUUAAUUGCCAUACCAUACCAGACUCGUCCAUUCAUGUGGACACAGACUAUUCGAAUAGGUUUGAACUCUACGCAGAGGGGUACACUUUACCCACUAGUUCGGCUCUGCGAUCCCUAGGGAUGGAUCCGGAUAUUUAUUCGGAUGUCAAUUUUUUGGUCUUCUUUCUUCGAUUGUGAACAAAUAACAUAUAGAAUUUGCUAUGUAAAUUUAUAUUCUUGUUUUUAGCAUUGAGGUUAUUAAUCUUCACAAAAAAUAAACAUUAAAUUCGUUCUAGAUAUUUUUAAAUAAUUGAUAUAAAAUUCGGAUGUCUAUCCGAAUACGGAUUCGGAUGUUUUUUCACCUUUUUUGUUGUAGGGAGAAAAUAAUGUACAUAAAAAAAUAUACAAAAAUUUAUUUAAAUACUUCAUAAUAUUCUUCAUAACAUUGCCAAAAAUUAGCUUUAAAUUAUAUGUAUAUCUAUGCUAAAAUAUUAGAUUUGUGAUACAAUUCGGAUGUUUUAGGAACAUCCCUAGCGAUCCCAUGGCCAAUGAGACCCGAAUCCGACUCUCUUUCUUUCCCCGCACGUCCUAACCUUAACGGUUAUCCGGAAGGAGUCAGGCCACCACCAUGUCCAAACCGGACAAAACUUUCCCCCUCCUUAUCCUCCCGGUGCUCCCUAGCCUUCAUAACCCUGGGGUUGGACCGUACGAGUUCAGAUUGAGUGACUGCCCACACAGUCUCGAGUGGUUGUACUAUUAAAGAGUAUAGGUAGUGAAGAUGACAAACCGGUCCUUAUAUGAGGGGACAAUCCUUCUGCUCACGCCUAAACCAGCUGAGCCAACACCUUAGGCCCUCCCCUAAACCAGGGAGUCCCUGAUUAUCCCACUCACAAGGUGAUAAGGGUGAAAACCCUUCAUCACACACAUUUUGAAAAGCAUUUUCUUUUGAAAACUCACACAUGUUCUCAAAUCAUUUGGAACAUAUAUAUCAGGGAUUGAUUGCGGCAAGCGGUUGGGUGGCCAUAAUAACUUGUCUCAAAAUCAUAUCAUGCAUAAAAUAACAGGCUGAGGGUUGUGGUUGAAAAAUCAUAGGUAAUUUAUGCAUCAAAGGGAUCCAGUGAGCUUGUCGUGCUUAUCCGGCGAAGGGGGAAGGGGAGCUCGCGGAACUGGCUUCUGGCUCCACCGCCUAGCGUAGACUUGCGGAUCUGGCCUCCACGAGACGGCACGAACGCUCCGAUAACUAUGCAACAUGAACAAGCAAACAUACAAACGAGCAAGUAUACCAACAAAUAUUUAGUAUAGUGGUCAGAAUAGCGAUAUAUGGAUGGGUAGAGUCUUGAGUAGAAUCUGUGUCAUGUGGUGUUGUGAUAUUACUAGUGGUGGAGCGGAGGUGCUUACCAGGAGGGUGGACUGGAGGCGAAGCGACACUAUGCGUGUAGCCGGCAGAGCAGAGUAACUGAGUGGGUGGGGUGUUUGCCUUGGCUGAGGGUGUUGAGUGUGUGUGGAGAGGGAGAGGGUAGCUGGGUGUAUUUAUAGCUGGGCGUAUGUGGUGUAGCACAGUGAAGUUCACUGUUGGUGAGAACAGUGACGAAUGAAUCGUCUGACUUAGUAUGAACAGGAGAGUUAUAGGUAGAAUAUGGGACAAGAGUAUUUUGGGAGUCUUCUGAAAUAUGAACCAUGUUUAAGGGAUGACAUGGUUGGAUAGGGAAUAAUUCGAUAAGAAUUUAGAAACAAGAAUUAUUGGAAUCGGAGUUUGGAAGCCUGGUUCGAAGGAAUCUCAAAGUCAAGCAUGCUCAACUUGGAAAAACCUGGGAUGGGUGACCAGAUGGGAGGUUCCUACUAGAAGGAAAAUCACAGUCACCAGAGUUCGUAUGACUGGAACAUGGGUCUGGCUGGUCUUAGGUGGACUGGACAACAUGAUGGAUGAGUAGUUGAAAUUUGGGAUAACUAGAUGACUGAUGGAUAGUAACGAUGAAUAGUAGCGACGGAAAAGUAAUUAUAGAUAUCAUCGAUGAAUAGUAACGAUGAUGAAUAGUAACGAUAAACAGUAACGAUAAUAAAUAGUAACAAUGAAUAGUAACGAUGGUGAAUAGUGUCGGUGAAUAGUAAUGAUGAAUAGUAACGGUGAAUAGUGAUGGUGAAUAGUUCAUAUGAACGAACGAUGAACGAUGAAUAGGAACUAUGAACGAACGAACGAAUGAUCGAAUGAUCGGACGAACGAACGAUCGGAAUUUCGGCAGCAUAACGGCAGGACAAAGAUUAUCUGGAAGAACGAUGAAUAGGGACUAUGAACGAACGAUGAACGAUGAAUAGGAACUAUGAACGAACGAACGAACGAUCGAAUGAUCAGACGAACGAACGAUCGGAAUUUCGGCAGCAUAACGGCAGGAUAAAGAUUAUUUGGAUGAACGAACGGACGAACGAUCGAAUGAUCGGACGAACGAACGAUCAGAAUUUCGGUAGCAUAACGGCAGGACAAAGAUUAUCUGGAAGAACGAUGAAUAGGGACUAUGAACGAACGAUGAACGAUGAAUAGGAAAUAUGAACGAACGAUGAACGAUCGAAUGAUCGAACGAACGAACGAUCGGAAUUUUGGCAGCAUAACGGUAGGAAAAAGAUUAUUUGGACGAACGAACGGACGAACGAUCGAACGAUCGGACGAACGGACGAAUAAACCAUGAACGAUCGGACGAACGAUCGAACGAUCGGACGAACGAACGAACAAACUAAGAACAGGGGACGAACGAUCGAAGAACGAUCGAACGAUCCUUGUGCUAGUGUGUGCUUGUGUGGAACAUGGAGUGGGUGUGUGUGGGGGGGGGAGAGUUGCCAUGAAAUGGCUUGGGGUGGGAUGAGAGGAGGCCCUUGCCCCUCUAUUUAUAGCCAUGGUGGGGGGAUUAGGGGGAGGGAUGAGAGGAUUAGUGGGAGGAUGAGAGGAUUAGUGGGAGAUUAGCAUGUAUUUGUCUUGUAUAAGUGAGAUUAGCUUGUGGAGCUCACCGUAUGACACUAGAGGCAUACGUAUAUGUAUGAGCAUGAGGAAAGUUAUGAAGAAAAUAUUUAUAGGGACUUGAAAAAUGAUUCUGAAGGUAUUUCUCAAGAGGAAAAUAUCUGGAGAUAUAUCGGUGGAAUAUUUGGGCAGUAUUUCUGGAAAGAACUUGAAGGGGAUUACUCGGGAAAUAUCUGGGCGGUAUUUCUGGAAGAAUUUGAGGGGGAUCACUGGAGAAAUAUCUGGGCGGUAUUUCUAGAAGAAUUUGAGGGGGAUCACUGAAGAAAUAUCUGGGCAGUAUUUCUGAAAAGAAAUUAAAGGUGAUCACUGGGGAAAUAUUUGUAGAAUAUUUUGAGGAGGAUUUUGGAGAGAAUAUAGACCACUAUAAUUUAUUUGUUGAUAUCAACUUGCAAACAAACAUUUUGAAACGAAAUUUGAAAUUCAUUUUGAAUUUAGAGGGAGUUUGAGAAAAUUUCAAGAUUUGAAUUUUUGGGAUGCUACAAAUCUACCCCACUUAAAAGGAAUCUCGUCCUCGAGAUUCGGCUUAGAAGGGUUAUGGGUAUAGCUUUACUUCAGCUACAUAUCUUCACUUUGCAACCCUUCGAGGAGAUGGAACUUCAACAAAAUCUGGUCUUUGAGGAGCAUCCGGUUGCAAACACUGAUUUUGGCUACUCAAAGAUCAUCUUCAGCCUUCUAGGUUUCGCUUGGCAGCCAGCUUAUUGAAGAAGCAUCGAUGCCAACACGCAAACCUUCCUCUUGCGAACUUCCACAUGGAUUCCUUACUUGAUUGGUCUUCUGGUGCUUCAUCAACAAAACUUGUGUGAUCACUUCUCAUCCAGAAACUUAUAUGCUUGGACGAUCGGGUCCUCCACAAGCUUGCUACAGGCCUUCUUCUUUUUCUCCAUAGCAGGAACAUUACUGGAACACUACCCCACUUAAAAUGGAUGAGGGUAGAACACCUGAAUCUUGGGGAUUUGAACUCCUUGAAGUACCUCAUAACAAGGGCGUUACGGGGCCUUCUUCUGCUGUUGCUGCUUGAGUAGGCUGCGGAGAAAUGACUGACACAGGGUUGAUUCUGGGACAACCUUCUUCUCAUCUUCUCUUCACUAUCUUCUUUUCUCUUCUCACUUUUCACUUUUCACUGCCUCUUUCUUUCUCUUUGCUCUUCCCACUCGAGGAUUCUAUCAAAGAGUAUUACUUUCAUACACUGGAGGAAACCAAAGACUAUGAACCAUGUGCAACAGUCUUCAACCCAAGAAUUACCAAGCAUUGUGAUCUCAGGGGCGAGGGAGUGGAAAAUGGAGUUGCUUGCGAUUUGGCAGAGGGGGUUUUAUCUGGAGUGUUUUGCUUGGGAUGGGAACUGAGGGAGCUGGUGGGGGGGGUUUAUAGGCGAGCGGGUGCUCGGGUGCGGAGUGGCGGUGAUGGAGUAGGUGCCAUGCGGUAGCAAACACGACAAGGGGAGGGGGGGCCUGUUACCGGCGACGAUGGCGGUGGGUGCGCUGCAAAAGGGGGCGUGGGUGGCGGUAGUGCGCUGCAAAGGGGGCGUGGGGCGGUGGUAGUGCGCAUGGAGGCGGGCACGCGUGCGAGGGGCACGGGUGAGUGGUGGGGUCAAUGACCCUGAUGUUUGUGGUCUCUGGUUCCAAGAAUCUUUGCCUCUCUGUAUGGUAAUAACUCCUUUUGUCCUCUUUUCCUAUUUACUUUGACUCAGGGGCAGUGCUUUGAUUCUCACGGUCGGUCCUUUUGACUGAGCGGCUGGACUGGUUUCUUCUGUAGCUUGUUCCAGGCUUCAAGGGUAAGCUUCCCAGUAUCUUCUUGGGUAAGGUGCUUUUCUCUUGAGAUGGGUUAAGAUGAGAAUGGAAGCAUAAGGUGAGGAUUAGAUCUAAUUUGUGAUCUAUGUUUUUAGAGAAAACCUUUCUUAAAAAAAGAAAACACACAAGCUCAGCAAUGAUAAGCACAAACAAAUCGAAUGUUUUGAAUAAGGGAAUGAUAGAGUUUUUCCAAAGCACGGACUACUCAGAUUCGGGGGCUAAGCAUAACUACUAUUGCUUGGCUCCUGAAUUGAGAACUAUGCUAAAUGCGACUUAUGAGCCCUAACGUUAAAGCAUCACAUAUACACUCAAAAGGGGAGAAAACAUCAAGCGAAAUUCAUUUUGAAAUGCCCUAGGGGGCCACACAAAUAGAGUUUUGCAAAACACGAGUCUACACGAUUACCUUUCAUACAUGCAGGGCUCUAGCCAAAGUGAAGAAAAACUUCACUACCCAAUGCAUGCAGAGGACUGGGCAUGACUAACUUCAGACCAGGCAGCUUCUCUUCUAGCAGGGCUGGCACACAACUUCAAUCUGAUACAUCUCCUGGAUGGGUCAAGAGGGAGCUGAUGUUGAUGACUUCUUCUGGCGGCGACUGAGAUGGCAGGACAGGGUCGAACUCUUCUUCAAGCGGAACUGGCUCUUGUAGCUCCUCUGAGGGCGGCGGUGCUGGCGGGGUGCUUGCAGCUUCUUCCUUGACCUCAAGGGACGGUGCUGGAAUCUUCUUCAUGGUGAGGGGCUCACACAACUCCGGUGGGGGAUCUUGGGAGGACUCGGGGUGCUCUUGCUUAUCCAUAGCCUUAGGGGAGACUGGAAUUCCUUCCAAGACUAUGGCUCCUUCCGGUAGUUCCCAAGCCUUCUUCUCUCCUCUGAUAGAGACCAGGUGACCUUCAAGAAUCUGAGGGUCUUCAGCUCUCCUGGGUUGAACUGGGUUGGAUGGAGCGGGCUCUUGGAUCCGCAGGGCUCUACGUUGGUUAUGGGUUACCAAGUAGGCCUCCAUCAACUUCUGGACAUGCUCAUCCUUGGCUUGCUUCAGGGCUUCAACAGCAAUGACUUCACGACUUUCCAAGGCAGCUACACGGGCUUGAGCUAUGGUGAGAUCCACAUGGAGCUUACGGUUGAGCUUCUCUUCAUUUUCUGCUCGAGCAAUCAUCUGACGGUGGUGCCGAGCCAAGAAAUCAUACUACGCAUCCAGGGUGAGCAGGUAUGCAGUGAGGUACACGACUGUGGGGUCGUCCUCAAGCAGCUGCUUUCCUUCCAAUGCACGCAUCCUGGCCAUCUAAGCAGGACGGUCUCUCUGAAAGGGCGGAAAGAAUCUGAGCGGGGUGUCGGCCACUUCUUCUUCAUAAAUCUGACACAGGGUCCUCAAUGCCUUGCGGGCGACGACUUGGCAGGUGUCUUUGAAUCUGUGCCCAGCAGCAGUGGCACUCCAUUCCACAUGGUGCGGACUGGAUCCAAUGUAUACAGUCACGACACACUUCUCCGUGCCAUGCUCGAUGAAUUCACGACCAUCAUACUCUGGCUGCCUCCUGAUUCCGAGGCGGACUGUGCAUGCUUUCAGUAACUUGGGAAAACCAUCUUCAUUCUGGCAAAAGUUGGUUUGGCAGCGAACCUCCAUCUGACUUCUGAGAGAAGGAAAGGGGGAAAGCAUUUUUGAAAUGAAGGGAUAAGAGCAAGAAUUUUUUUAAGAAAAUAGUUUUGACUCAAAAACUUUUGGAUCAGGCUAAGGGUUACGUCCUGCGGCCAACCUAACAGCUCUGAUACCACCUGAAGCGUCCCCAAUCCUCUGGGACUCAAAUGUGACACAAUUACUAGUCCCAGGAGACUAGUAAACACAUUUAUACAUCAGAUGAUUCCAGAUCUGCUUAAACGAGACAAACCUAUAAAGGUGGCGAUCAACUUUAAGAGUUGGUCCACAACUCGGGACAUAACAUCAGAGUGGGGCUGAAGCAGCCCGAUAUACGCAGCGAAGCAAAUCAGCGGUCCAACAACCACAGGCAAGGUUGGGAACAGUCGUAACUCUUACCCGAUCUCCUUUUUCUGAAAAACAACAAAUAAGCAAGGGUGAGUACAAACGUACUCAGCAGCCCACCUUCACCCGCGGAAUAGGGAAAUCAGAUAUAAUGCAUGGAAUAUGUAGAGCUCAGGAUAUUUGCAGAAACAGCAAUAUUUUAUGCAGGGUUGUUUUGAAAAACAUUUUGUAUUUUGCAAAGCGCAUCCUCUCCAAAAGGAGCAGGAAGUUUUUCAAUAUUAGAACAAAAUCCCCUGGACUAAACCAUCCAGGUAUCUCAGCAGUUUCCCACUGGUUUUCAUUUUCAACAACAGCUACUGGACUUCCCGUCCACCAUAGCUCACGGCUCAACCGCCGGUCCUUAUAAAAAACACUUUUCUCAAAACCAUCUCUUUUUUUGGAAAACAAAACAUUAAUUGCCAUACCAUACCAGACUCGUCCAUUCCUGUGGACACAGACUAUUCGAAUAGGUUUGAACUCUACGCAGAGGGGUACACUUUACCCACUAGUUCGGCUCUGCGAUCCCAUGGCCAAUGAGACCCGAAUCCGACUCUCUUUCUUUCCCCGCACGUCCUAACCUUAACGGUUAUCCGGAAGGAGUCAGGCCACCACCAUGUCCAAACCGGACAAAACUUUCCCCCUCCUUAUCCUCCCGGUGCUCCCUAGCCUUCAUAACCCUGGGGUUGGACCGUACGAGUUCAGAUUGAGUGACUGCCCACACAGUCUCGAGUGGUUGUACUAUUAAAGAGUAUAGGUAGUGAAGAUGACAAACCGGUCCUUAUAUGAGGGGACAAUCCUUCUGCUCACGCCUAAACCAGCUGAGCCAACACCUUAGGCCCUCCCCUAAACCAGGGAGUCCCUGAUUAUCCCACUCACAAGGUGAUAAGGGUGAAAACCCUUCAUCACACACAUUUUGAAAAGCAUUUUCUUUUGAAAACUCACACCUGUUCUCAAAUCAUUUGGAACAUAUAUAUCAGGGAUUGAUUGCGGCAAGCGGCUGGGUGGCCAUAAUAACUUGUCUCAAAAUCAUAUCAUGCAUAAAAUAACAGGCUGAGGGUUGUGGUUGAAAAAUCAUAGGUAAUUUAUGCAUCAAAGGGAUCCAGUGAGCUUGCCGUGCUUAUCCGGCGAAGGGGGAAGGGGAGCUCGCGGAACUGGCUUCUGGCUCCACCGCCUAGCGUAGACUUGCGGAUCUGGCCUCCACGAGACGGCACGAACGCUCCGAUAACUAUGCAACAUGAACAAGCAAACAUACAAACGAGCAAGUAUACCAACAAAUAUUUAGUAUAGUGGUCAGAAUAGUGAUAUAUGGAUGGGUAGAGUCUUGAGUAGAAUCUGUGUCAUGUGGUGUUGUGAUAUUACUAGUGGUGGAGCAGAGGUGCUUACCAGGAGGGUGGACUGGAGGCGAAGCGACACUAUGCGUAUAGCCGACAGAGCAGAGUAACUGAGUGGGUGGGGUGUUUGCCUUGGCUGAGGGUGUUGAGUGUGUGUGGAGAGGGAGAGGGUAGCUGGGUGUAUUUAUAGCUGGGUGUAUGUGGUGUAGCACAGUGAAGUUCACUGUUGGCGAGAACAGUGACGAAUGAAUCGUCUGACUUAGUAUGAACAGGAGAGUUAUAGGUAGAAUAUGGGACAAGAGUAUUUUGGGAGUCUUCUGAAAUAUGAACCAUGUUUAAGGGAUGACAUGGUUGGAUAGGGAAUAAUUCGAUAAGAAUUUAGAAACAAGAUUUAUUGGAAUCGGAGUUUGGAAGCCUGGUUCGAAGGAAUCUCAAAGUCAAGCAUGCUCAACUUGGAAAAACCUGGGAUGGGUGACCAGAUGGGAGGUUCCUACUGGAAGGAAAAUCACAGUCACCGGAGUUCGUAUGACUGGAACAUGGGUCUGGCUGGUCUUAGGUGGACUGGACAGCAUGAUGGAUGAGUAGUUGAAAUUUGGGAUAACUAGAUGACUGAUGGAUAGUAACGAUGAAUAGUGGCGACAGAAAAGUAAUUAUAGAUAUCAUCGAUGAAUAGUAACGAUGAUGAAUAGUAACGAUAAACAGUAACGAUGAUGAAUAGUAACAAUGAAUAGUAACGAUGGUGAAUAGUGUCGGUAAAUAGUAAUGAUGAAUAGUAACGGUGAAUAAUGAUGGUGAAUAGUUCGUAUGAACGAACGAUGAACGAUGAAUAGGAACUAUGAACGAACGAACGAAUGAUCGAAUGAUCGGACGAACGAACGAUCGGAAUUUCGGCAGCAUAACGGCAGGACAAAGAUUAUCUGGAAGAACGAUGAAUAGGGACUAUGAACGAACGAUGAACGAUGAAUAGGAACUAUGAACGAACGAACGAACGAUCGAAUGAUCGGACGAACGAACGAUCGGAAUUUCGGCAGCAUAACGGCAGGAUAAAGAUUAUUUGGAUGAACGAACGGACGAACGAUCGAAUGAUCAGACGAACGAACGAUCGGAAUUUCGGCAGCAUAACAGCAGGACAAAGAUUAUCUGGAAGAACGAUGAAUAGGGACUAUGAACGAACGAUGAACGAUGAAUAGGAACUAUGAACGAACGAUGAACGAUCGAAUGAUCGAACGAACAAACGAUCGGAAUUUUGGCAGCAUAACGGUAGGAAAAAGAUUAUUUGGACGAACGAACGGACGAACGAUCGAACGAUCGGACGAACGGAUGAACGAACCAUGAACGAUCGGACAAACAAUCGAACGAUCGGACGAACGAACGAACAAACUAAGAACAGGGGACGAACGAUCGAAGAACGAUCGAACGAUCCUUGUGCUAGUGUGUGCUUGUGUGGAACAUGGAGUGGGUGUGUGUGUGGGGGGGGUGUGAUACCCGGUUUUGCAAAGAAGAGAAGUUGGGGGUUGUUCUUUUGUUUUUUCCCUCAUCCGGUUGUGGUUUUGGGGAUUUGGGAUUUUGUGGAAAACAUUCACAACUAGGGCAGUAGAAUUGUUUUGGUUUGAUGCUUGUGUUGGGGUCAGGAGCUGUCGCGUGGGUUAGUUGGGCCGCGAUUGGUGUUUCGGCCCAUUAAUCCUCCCAAACCCUAGCCGCCUCCCUCCUAACCCCCUCCCCCCUUGUGCAGCCCCCCCACUCCUCCCACUCCUUGGCCGCCGCCCCCUGCCCAUCUCCUCCUCUCUCAAUUUUUGCAGCCACACCCCAUACCCUAGCCGCCCCCCCUCAAUCUCCUCCUCCCAAGGUGCCAAUCCUUGCCGCUCGGAUCAUCGUCUCGUGGUGCGAUUCUCCAAUCGUUUUGGUGGAGGGAAGAAGGGAGGAAGGAAAGGGGGAGAAUCCAAGGUGAUUUUUGUGUUCAUCCCUUGUUCUUUUGCGCUGCGAUUCAAUUGAUUAGAUGUUGCGUUUGCGAUUGGAUAGAGGGGGCUGUCCAGAAUUUUACGUGGUGGAUGAACGGCGGAAGUUCUAGCAGUUUCUAGGUUUUUUUCGUGAAAAAUUAAUGGGGAUCAAUUUGAGGAUCUUGUAGAACUUUGUUUUACCUUUCCAACGAGUAUUUAUGCGCUCAAUUUGGAGUUAUAAAUUAAAAGUUAUCAUCGUUUGAAUCCGGGUAUGUGGCUGUCCAAAAAAACAGAUUUUUCAGAAGGAUGAACAGCAGCAGUAUUAUCAGUUUCUGGGGAUUUUUCGGGAGUAAUUAGUGUUAAUCAGUAUGAGAAUCAUGUAGGGCUUUUUCUUAUCUUUCCAACAAGUACUUAUGCGCUCAAAUCGGAAUUAUAUUUUAAAAGUUAUCGCUGUUUGAACCCGAGUAUGUCGCUGCCCAAAUCAGAAAAAAAAAACAGAUUGCAGGGUUUAUUUUGUGGACCGUUUAGAGGUAAUUAGAUGUUAGAAUUUAAUCAUGAGUUGUAUACAAAACUUGUGGGGAAUUUUAUGUAGUUGUCUCUGGAGUUUUUGUUUGACACCACUGCUGUCCUAAUUUUUAAGUUAUGGAAUUGUUAAGCAGCGCCGCUGCAGUUUGGUUGGUGAGGGGAGAAUUGUUACCGCGGCGGGGUUUGAGAUUGCGCGUAGGUGCGGUGUUGUCUUUGAGUUUUUUAUGUGAAUUUGGUGCACUAAGUUGGGUGUCAAAAACAGGUGGUGGACUUCCGGAUCGUUCUUAGGGAUUUUGCCCAAACUUCCGGUGAAGGCAAGUAAACUUGUGAUGGUUAUUCCGUCUGGCAAAUGAGGAGUCUUAUUCUUGAAUAUGUUGUGCUAUUAUGUUCAUAUUCAUAUUUUGUUUGUUUAUUGAGUACCAUCAUUUGAGAAUGUUCAUGUUUCAUGAAUUUCAUAUGUUGAGUUUGAGGUUUGAUCAUGUUACUCAAGUGGUUAUUAUGUGGAAUGGGUGGAAGUAUAUGACUAGCACAUUUUUAUUUGGGAAGAACUUAUGAUGUUGUCAUGCAUAAUGCACUCAUCAUCCAUUGCAUUGAAGUUUCGUCGCGAUCUUAUGGUCCGACCGUACCAGUACAUUGAGCAUCAUAUGUUGCCCGAGAAGGGGUAUGGUGCAGCUUCAUAUCCUUAGAGAUAUGGAGGCAGAAGUCAUUAUUGCAUUUGUAGCCAUGUGCAUUCAUGGGAGAGGUGUGGAAUCUAUUAUGUGGAUGUGGAUAAUCUAGACUUGUGCAUGGUGUUUCUUCUUGGCGUUAAGUAUUUAUUUACUUGUGUACUUGCUGCAAUUUACUGUCGAAAAAAAGAAAGAAGUUCUGAACCACGUGGUUGUAUAAGCACAGUUGAUUUACAAUGUCCUAUUUGUUGUGGUUAUGUUUACUUGCUGAGAUGUGUUAUCUCACAUCUUGCAUUGUUUGAUGCAGGCACCUAAUUUCUGCUUGGGGAAUAGAGGGAUGUAGCAGCACGGCCACUUCACCUUUAAUUAAAGGAACCCCCACUUAAUAAUGUUGUUAAUCAGAGUUGGUCAAGUCCAGUGAAUUACUUUGUUCUUGGUUGAGCGUUUGUUUUGGGUGGGCUGAGUUCCUUAUCCCAUUUGUUUUACUUCAGUUGGGUCCUAAUUAAGUUUUACCACUUUUGCAUUUUUGUUUCUACUACGUGAAUUAUAUGUCUUUAUAUCUUGUAUGAACUUCAUGUUUCCCCUCCUCGUUAUGCUAGUUUUCAAAGGAGGUGCUGCCGGAUUUUUCUUGCUUUAUAUUCUUUCUUUAUUACAUCUCUUGUGUUGAGUCAGUUUGGUGGGUGGGGUUUGUGGUAUUAUCCAUUCUGUGCGACCAGUGGGGUGUUACAGUUGGUAUCAGAGGUAUAGGCUGUAGGUCCUAGCAAGUGGAGUAGUAAUAAAUUGACACACUGCACAUGUAGGAUGGGUUUUCUGUCUUGCUAUUGAUAUGAUUAUGUUAUUGUCUGUGCUAGUUUUGACAUUAUCUAGAGAGAUGUUAUGCUUAUCUCAUUUACUUAUUAUUCUCAUCCCUGUGGCUGCAGCUAUGCCGCCUCGUAGAGCUCGGGGUAGUCCGCAAGCUCCUAGUGGGGACUCGAUGAGUCCGGCGGCAAUGUUAGCCGCGAUGCAGGCCAUGCAGCAGGAGUUGGCCCUUCUGAGGCAAGCCAUUCCUGUCGCCCCUGCGGGUGCUGCUCAGGGUGCUAGAGGUGGAGAAGUGCCCGGGGGCGCUGUCCCUGCGGGUGCUGUUCCAGGUGGCGGGGCCGAGGUGCCUCUUCCAGUCAGUGGUCUUUCUCUGAUGCAGUGGAUGGGCAUGAAGUUGGAUUCUUUUGAUGGCAGUGGUACUCCGGUCGAGGCGACAGAUUGGUUGACUUAUGUGGAGGAUAAGAUGAAUGUCUUCGAGAUUGCAUAUGGAGAUUGGGUUCGCUUUGGCACUCAGCUGCUGAAGGGAGAGGCUCAAAUUUGGUGGAGAGGCGUGCAGGCAGCGCGCUCCUCCUCACCAGGAGUCCUAUCUUAGGAUGUUUUCAUCAGACAGUUUGAAAGGAGGUUCUACCCGGUCACCUUUCUGGAGAAAAUGAAGAUUGACUUGCAGUCCUACAAGCAGGAGAAGAAGUCUGUCACAGAGUAUGAGGUGGGCUUCAACAAGAUGGUCCGCUUUGUCCCUCAUGUGGCUUAUAAUGAGAUGGAGAAGGCGAGCCAAUUCCGUCAGGGUCUGAAGCCUUCUAUUAGGCAUGCACUGGGGGCUUUUCUGUUGGUGGACUUCCGUACCACGGUGGAGCAGGCGCUGGGUGUGGAGAUGCAACACCAGUAUACCAUGGAGUCGCAGAAGUCUUCGGGUGUUGAUCAGCCUUGUAGUCAGGACGCGAGGAGAGGCAACACUGGAGGUCCAGCUCACAAGAGGGGCAAGUCUCAGCAUCAGCGCCACCAUCCUUACCGUGGCAAAUCUUCUGACUCAGGUACUUCGGGAGGAAGUACUCAGAGGUUUCGGGCCGUUCCUAAGCCCGGGCUGGGGCUGGUGUGUUUCCGCUGUGGAGAUGCGCAUCGCCGUGCAGAGUGCCAGUGGAGUGGCAGGUGUUCUAUCUGCAGUCAGGACCACAAGGAUGUGGUGUGUAGGAGGAAUCCCAAUGGGAAGCUCAGAUGGGAGCCGGUGACUUCCUCCUCUUCUUAGGGCACUAUCAACAUGAUGUCAAGUGCUGAGCAGCAGUUUUCAGUUCCUCUUCCUCCACAGCAGCUUUAUGUGCCUGGGACCUCUCAAUUUGUGCCGAUGCAAGGUUUUCCUUAGUAUCAGGCUGUGCCUACUCCUGCACCGUCUACCCCUGUGCUGACUCAGUUUGGAGCUCUGCGCCAGCCUCCUCCGGUGGCUCAGUGGGGUUCUUCUGUUAAUUUCACUCCGGGAGCUUCCUCUUCUGCGGGUAUUUCUGGAGCUUAUGUGCUACCCGCUGCGGAUGGCAGGGAGCAAGGAGACGUGGUGACAGGUACGAUUUCAGUUGAUUCGUUUGCUGCCCAUGCUCUUUUUGAAUCUGGUGCUAGCUAUUCGUUUGUUUCGGAGGAUUUUGUGUCGCGGGCUGGUCUUUUGGUGCAGAGGCUGGGUCACCCAAUUUUGGUUAGAUCUGCUAAUGGCUCCAUUAGUAGCUGCUCAGUUGGUCAGGGGUGUUCUGUCAUUCUUGCUGAUGAGGUCUUUGCGGCCAAUUUGGUGGUGAUUUCCUUGGGGGCGUUCGAUGUUAUCUUGGGUAUGGACUGGUUAUCCCAGUAUCGCGCGGUUAUAUCCUGCUUCUGGAAGACAGUGUUAUUGCAGGCGCCGCCGGGAAAGGAGGUGGUAUUCUUGGGAAGUUCCCCGAAGUUCUCGCUAUCCCUGUUGGCGCAAUUGCUUCCUGAUCGCCGAUCAAGGAAGUUGGGGAUCUUUUUCUCCAUGGUGGUGGAGGGUGAGGCAGCCUCGCGGGUGUAGGACAUUCGGGUGGUGUGUGACUUUGCUGACGUGUUUUCGGCAGAGCUUCCAGGCAUUCCUCCGGAGCGCGAUGCAGCUUUUGAGAUUAAGCUGAUUCCGGGUAUGCAGCCUAUUCAUUAGGUCCCAUAUCGAAUGGCCCCAAAGGAGCAGAUUGAAUUAAAGCGACAAUUAGAUGAUCUACUGGCUAAAGGCUUCAUUAGGCCUAGCAGGUCUCCAUGGGCUUCCCCAGUAUUGUUUGUUGAGAAGAAGGAUAAAAGCAAGCGGCUGUGUGUGGAUUAUCGCGCUUUGAAUCAAGUGACAAUCAAGAAUAAAUAUCCGCUUCCCUGAAUUGAGGUCCUCUUUGAGCAGUUGAGGGGUGCCCAGGUGUUCUCCAAAAUUGAUUUGAACUCUGGUUAUCAUCAAUUGAGGAUUCGUGAGGAGGAUAUCGAGAAGACUGCCUUCUGCACCAGGUAUGGGCAUUAUGAGUUCAUAGUCAUGUCUUUUGGCUUAACUAAUGCCCCUGCUGCCUUUAUGGAAGCAAUGAAUAGGAUGUUGCAUGAAUUCCUGGACGACUUUGUGGUCGUGUUCCUGGAUGAUAUUCUGAUUUAUUCAAAGACGAGGCCGAGCAUGAGCAGCAUCUCCGUCUCGUUCUGGGUGCCCUAAGGAAGAAUCAAUUCUAUGGCAAGUUGAAGAAGUGCGCCUUUUGGCUAUCCGAAGUGGCUUUCCUGGGGCACGUGAUUAAUCAACAGGGUAUUGCGGUUGAUCCCAAAAAUGUUGCGGCUGUGGUGGAGUGGAAGAGACCCUCUAGUGUCUCUGAAAUUCGAAGUUUCUUGGGGCUUGCCGGGUAUUAUCGGCGCUUCGUACCAAAUUUUUCCGGCAUUGCUAAGCCUUUGACUAGGCUCUUGGAGAAGGGUGUUCCCUUCGUCUGGUCCGGCGAUUGUGAGGUCAGUUAUCAGUCAUUGAAGAGCAAGUUGGUGGACGCCCCUAUCCUAGCUUUGCCUGAGAGCGGUAAGCGUUUCACAGUUUAUAUGGAUGCUUCGCGUAUUGGUCUUGGCUGUGUGCUGAUGCAGGAAGGCAGAGUGAUUGCUUAUGGCUCAAGGCAGUUGAGGAAGCAUGAGGGGAAUUAUCCAACUCAUGAUCUGGAAUUGGCUGCGGUGGUUUUUGCUCUAAAGUCGUGGAGGCAUUACCUUUAUGGCAAGGCUUGUGACAUUUUCACCGAUCACAAAAGUCUCAAGUAUAUUUUUACUCAGAAGGAGCUGAAUUUGAGGCAGCGUCAGUGGCUAGAAUUGAUUAAAGAUUAUGAUUUGUCCAUUCAUUAUCACCCGGGGAAGGCUAAUGUGGUGGCGGAUGCCCUUAGCAGGUCCGGGGUUCCAAAGGUGGCCUUGCCGUUGAUCGCUGAUCUGGACCGUUUGGGGAUCGCUUUGUGUUAUGUCGGCACCGCUAGCGAGGAGACUCAGAUGCUUAUUCAAUCCUCUCUCAUGGAGAGAGUGCGUGCGGCUCAGCAGCAGGAUCGUCUUUUGCAGGAAGCUCGAAAGAGGGUUGGUGAUGGUAAACCGCGGGAGUUCACCAUUGAUGAGAAUGAUUUGGUUCGUUUUAGGGGCCGUCUUUGUGUGCCUCAGAAAUCAGAGGUGAAGCUGGAUAUCCUGCGAGAAGCUCAUAAAACGCCUUACACCGUCCAUCCUGGCGAAACCAAAAUGUACCGAGAUUUGAAACAAAAUUUCUGGUGGAAGCGGAUGAAGGUUGACAUUUCUAAGUAUGUGGCCGACUGUGAAGUAUGUCAACGCGUGAAGGCCAAACAUAAGCGGCCUGCAGGUUUGCUGAAGCCAUUGGAAAUUCCAGAGUGGAAAUGGGAGCAUAUCACCAUGGAUUUGUUGGUGGGUCUACCUCGUUCCCCUCAUGGCAGGGAUGCUAUUUGGUGGUAGUGGAUCGCUUGACUAAGUCUGCGCAUUUUAUUCCCAUGAAGACCACAAAUUCAGCUUCAGAUUUGGUUCCCUUGUAUAUGAAGGAAGUAGUCAGACUUCACGGGGUACCUAAGUCUAUUAUUUCUGAUCGAGACUCCAAAUUUGUAUCCAAAUUCUGGGAGAGUCUCCAUAGUGCAUUGGGCACCAAGCUUUCUCUUAGUGUCGCUUUUCACCCUCAGACUGAUGGUCAGUCAGAGCGAACAAUCCAAACCUUGGAGGAUAUGUUGCGUGCUUGUGUUCUGUCAUGGAAGGGUAGCUGGGAGGAUCAUCUUGCUCUGGCAGAGUUUGCGUAUAACAACAGCUACCAAGCUAGCAUCAAGAUGGCACCAUUUGAGGCUUUGUAUGGCAGGCGGUGUAUCUCUCCUCUGUGCUGGGAGACUUUGGGAGAGAGAUCCCUGGUUGGUCCUGAUUGGGUUCAGCAAACUUCUAAAAAGGUUCGGGAAAUUCGUCAGAAUAUUUUGGCAGCUCAGAGUCGUCAGAAGAGUUAUGCUGAUGUGAGGAGGCGGGAUCUGGAAUUUGCUGUGGGUGACCAAGUCCUUCUCAGGGUAUCACCCACUAAGGGAGUUGUUCGGUUCGGUGUCUCUGGGAAGCUCAGACCGAGAUACAUUGGACCGUUCACUAUCUUGGCCCGAGUGGGCAGCCUGGCUUAUCGCUUGCUACUGCCGGAUUCCAUGGCAGGGGUACACCCGGUUUUUCAUGUCUCUAUGUUGAGGAAGUUCUUGCGGGAUCCGGACCAUCAGAUUGAGAUGGAACCAAUUGCGGUGCAGCAGGAUCUGACUCUGGAGUGUCGUUCGGUGCGUAUAUUGGAAUUCUCGGAGCGUGUGUUGAGGAAGAGAUCAAUUAAGUAUGUCAAGGUCUUAUGGACUAAUCAGUCUGAGCGCGAGGCUACGUGGGAACUUGAGGAGCUGAUGCGGCAGAAGUACCCGGAACUUUUCGUUGUGGGUAAGUGUUGUUGAUUCAUUAAUCUUUUCUUUUGUCAUUCCGAUAGAAGCGUCAGAAUUCGAGGUCGAAUUCUUUUUAAAAGGGGUAGAGUGUGAUACCCGGUUUUGCAAAGAAGAGAAGUUGGGGGUUGUUCUUUUGUUUUUUUCCCUCAUCCGGUUGUGGUUUUGGGGAUUUGGGAUUUUGUGGAAAACAUUCACAACUAGGGCAGUAGAAUUGUUUUGGUUUGAUGCUUGCGUUGGGGUCGGGAGCUGUCGCGUGGGUUAGUUGGGCCGCGAUUGGUGUUUCGGCCCAUUAAUCCUCCCAAACCCUAGCCGCCUCCCUCCUAACCCCCUCCCCCCUUGUGCAGCCGCCCCUCCCACUCCUCCCACUCCUUGGUCGCCGCCCCCCUGCCCAUCUCCUCCUCUCUCAAUUUUUGCAGCCACACCCCAUACCCUAGCCGCCCCCCUCAAUCUCCUCCUCCCAAGGUGCCAAUCCUUGCCGCUCGGAUCAUCGUCUCGUGGUGUGAUUCUCCAAUCGUUUUGGUGGAGGGAAGAAGGGAGGAAGGAAAGGGGGAGAAUCCAAGGUGAUUUUUGUGUUCAUCCCUUGUUCUUUUGCGCUGCGAUUCAAUUGAUUAGAUGUUACGUUUGCGAUUGGAUAGAGGGGCUGUCCAGAAUUUUACGUGGUGGAUGAACAGCGGACGUUCUAGCAGUUUCUAGGUUUUUUUCGUGAAAAAUUAAUGGGGAUCAAUUUGGGGAUCUUGUAUAACUUUGUUUUACCUUUCCAACGAGUAUUUAUGCGCUCAAUUUGGAGUUAUAAAUUAAAAGUUAUCAUCGUUUGAAUUCGGGUAUGUGGCUGUCCAAAAAAACAGAUUUUUCAGAAGGAUGAACAGCAGCAGUAUUAGCAGUUUCUGGGGAUUUUUCGGGAGUAAUUAGUGUUAAUCAGUAUGAGAAUCAUGUAGGGCUUUUCUUAUCUUUCCAACAAGUACUUAUGCGCUCAAAUCGGAAUUAUAUUUUAAAAGUUAUCGCUGUUUGAACCCGAGUAUGUCGCUGCCCAAAUCAGAAAAAAAACAGAUUGCAGGGUUUAUUUUGUGGACCGUUUAGAGGUAAUUAGAUGUUAGAAUUUAAUCAUGAGUUGUAUACAAAACUUGUGGGGAAUUUUAUGUAGUUGUCUCUGGAGUUUUUGUUUGACACCACUGCUGUCCUAAUUUUUAAGUUAUGGAAUUGUUAAGCAGCGCCGCUGCAGUUUGGUUGGUGAGGGGAGAAUUGUUACCGCGGCGGGGUUUGAGAUUGCGCGUAGGUGCGGUGUUGUCUUUGAGUUUUUUUUAUGUGAAUUUGGUGCACUAAGUUGGGUGUCAAAAACAGGUGGUGGACUUCCGGAUCGUUCUUAGGGAUUUUGCCCAAACUUCCGGUGAAGGCAAGUAAACUUGUGAUGGUUAUUCCGUCUGGCAAAUGAGGAGUCUUAUUCUUGAAUAUGUUGUGCUAUUAUGUUCAUAUUCAUAUUUUGUUUGUUUAUUGAGUACCAUCAUUUGAGAAUGUUCAUGUUUCAUGGAUUUCAUAUGUUGAGUUUGAGGUUUGAUCAUGUUACUCAAGUGGUUAUUAUGUGGAAUGGGUGGAAGUAUAUGACUAGCACAUUUUUAUUUGGGAAGAACUUAUGAUGUUGUCAUGCAUAAUGCACUCAUCAUCCAUUGCAUUGAAGUUUCGUCGCGAUCUUAUGGUCCGACCGUACCGGUACAUUGAGCAUCAUAUGUUGCCCGAGAAGGGGUAUGGUGCAGCUUCAUAUCCUUAGAGAUAUGGAGGCAGAAGUCAUUAUUGCAUUUGUAGCCAUGUGCAUUCAUGGGAGAGGUGUGAAAUCUAUUAUGUAGAUGUGGAUAAUCUAGACUUGUGCAUGGUGUUUCUUCUUGGUGUUAAGUAUUUAUUUACUUGUGUACUUGCUGCAAUUUACUGUCCAGAAAAAAAAGAAAGAAGUUCUGAACCACGUGGUUGUAUAAGCACAGUUGAUUUACAAUGUCCUAUUUGUUGUGGUUAUGUUUACUUGCUGAGAUGUGUUAUCUCACAUCUUGCAUUGUUUGAUGCAGGCACCUAAUUUCUGCUUGGGGAAUAGAGGGAUGUAGCAGCACGGUCACUUCACCUUUAAUUAAAGGAACCCCCACUUAAUAAUGUUGUUAAUCAGAGUUGGUCAAGUCCAGUGAAUUACUUUGUUCUUGGUUGAGCGUUUGUUUUGGGUGGGCUGAGUUCCUUAUCCCAUUUGUUUUACUUCAGUUGGGUCCUAAUUAAGUUUUACCACUUUUGCAUUUUUGUUUCUACUACGUGAAUUAUAUGUCUUUAUAUCUUGUAUGAACUUCAUGUUUCCCCUCCUCGUUAUGCUAGUUUUUAAAGGAGGUGCUGCCGGAUUUUUCUUGCUUUA
RNAcentral lists this long non-coding RNA (59770 nucleotides) under Zea mays. RNAcentral's name for it is "long non-coding RNA (ZMAY_LNC000012)". Lineage: Eukaryota; Viridiplantae; Streptophyta; Magnoliopsida; Poales; Poaceae. The record is from RNAcentral.